GCUGCUCCCCGCCACGGCUCGGAGCUGGGGGUCGGCAGUGCGGGCGGGGGCGAACGCGAUCGCGGAGGGGAACGGGGCUCUCCGCGCCGAGUAUGCGUCCUGCGGCGGUCUGCUUUUCUCGGGCUCGGGUUAAAUCGCUCUGUAAGUCUGUCUUGAGUCCGCAGCUAGUGGCCCACUCCGCUGUCUCUUCCUCCUGUUGCAGGUCUGUUUCUGGCUCUCUGCCCUCUUGGGUCCACGCGUCCGCCAGCACACACGCGCAAUCUGGAGUGUACGUGACUGAAGGUUAAUCAUCAGAGGUUCCUGUUGUGGUUCGAUUAAAUUGUCCAAGGCUCUGCCAACACAACUCUUCCCUCUUUAGCAAAUAACUGAGAUGGGACUAGUGGGUUUAAAAGGGUUGCAGUUCCCCAGUGCCUGGUCCAGGCGGCAUCAGUGUGUAUGGGAGAAUGGGCGAGAUAUUCCGAGGUGCUAAAUGGGACAGGUUAGGAGAAAAAUGAUUUCAAUGGAGAAGUAGUUUGCUUUUGACCGCCAAAACUCUGCAGUCAGAAACACCCCAGAAGUAUCUUGACUUACUAGGUAAAUCUAAGUGUGUGGAUGACAAAGUAAGAUAUAUAAAAGCAGCUUGAACAAGGCUUUCACUUUGAAGGUCUGACUUUAUUCGAAAGCAGCCCCAUGUACCUCUUGUGUUAUGCGUCUGUAUGCUGUAUUCUUACUGAUUGAAAAUACACUUCACCAACAGAUGGUCGUUUAUGGUUUGAAAAAAAAUCAAGCAAAAACAAAUCUAAAUCUAGAUUAGCAUGACUAGGCAAGCCAUUGCAUAUGUAUACUCAUUUUUUUAGUUUCAGUAGGCAAUCCUUAUUAUAUAAUGCUUAUUCAGCUCUACAAAUAGAAGCUUCAUUGCAGGAUAUUUAUGGUCUAUGCAACUAGCAGUGGAAUUCUGUAUUAUAAAUCAUUCAAUUUCAAAAAAUAGCAAGAUAUUUAAAGAGAAAAAGUAAUGUUACUCUUGUUCUUAGGACUGAACCUACUUUAUUACCCUAAAAUGAAGUUCCAGGUGUAUUUAUUUGUUAUGUAUAAAACAUUACUGCCAUUCACAGAGUACUGUAUUCCAGGACCUUUAUCAAGCUCUAUGUGCAUGCUCUAAUUUGAACCCCACCAAUCCUUUGAAGUAAGUGUUAUACCAAUAGUGUGGAUGCAGAAAUGAAGACUCAGGUUAAGUAACUUGGCGAAGCAGAUUCUGGAUUGUCAGGCAACAGAGUGCAUCCUCAGAGAUGACCAUCCUACUUGUAUUCAUUUGUAAGUGGUUUGAUUAUAUUAGGCCUGGAAACUUUUAUUUAUAUGCCACUAAAAAUAGUCAGGAUAAGAAACAGCCCUCCAGAGGACAUUUUAUGUAUCAUUGUUUGUGUCCCAAAUUUUGAGAGAUAGCAGUUGGGGUGUAUGGGGAGAUGAUUCUAAGUGCUAUGGUGGAAGGUGGUAGAAAGUGACCUCAAGAUAAUUAUAUAAAGAGCCAGGCACAGUGCAACAUGCCUGAAAUCCUAGUAACUCAGGAGGCUGAGGCAGUAGGAUUGCAAGACCAAAGCUAGCCUCAGCAAUUUAGUGAGGGCUCAAAUAACUUAGUGAGACCCUGUCUCAAAAUAAAGUAUAAAAAUGCGUUGGGGAGAUGGCUCAGUGAUUAGACCCCCCUGGGUUCAAUCCCUUAUAUCAAAUAAUAAUAAUAAUGUAAAGAUCAUGACUGAAGCUCAACUAUAAGGAACAGAAUGAGUAGUCCAAGCAGUAUUUCUUUCUAAGCAUUUCUUUAAAGACGAGUUGGAUAUCUAUUAUUAAUCAGGACCAUAAUAAAAUAGCAGAGUAUUUAUGUUAUAGUUAUAACCCCUUAGUGAUUGUGAAAUUCAUUUAGUGUGUCAUGAUGGGUGUUUUAAAAAAUAAAACAUUAGAAAACAUCAGAAUACAUUGCCCAAUGUAAGUAAUGUGUAUUGUUUUGUGAAAUUUUGGUUUUAUUUAUGUGUGUAUGUGUAUGGAUGCACAAGUAUCCAUUGUCAAGUCACAAUAUAAAAGGAAUUUCUUUGGUUGCUAUUGGAAAAGCUCGAAAUACAUUGUGAUAGGAAAAUACAGAACUUAAGAAGCCAGAUGCCAGCUGUAAAAGAAAGAAAAAAAUGUGUUUGGAGUCAGUGAUAACUCAUUUAUUCCACAAUAAUUUCUUACAUGUUUUGAGCAUCAAAUGUAUUUAUAACAACUGCCUAAAACUGGAAGGGGACAAAUUAGGCCCUUUGCUCUGGGUGCAGUUUAUAAUCUAGUAGGAAAGAGAAUUUGGAAUGGGGAAUCAUUUAACAAUUCAAGAUAGAAAGGGAUUAAGGCCUAAAAAUUUAUAUUUUUAGGCCUUAAUUUAUAUCAAUUUUCUGAAAUUAGUGAUUAUUAUAUUGAUAAUCACUAAUUUUAGAAAAAUGAUAUGGACAAUACAAUUGGAGAAGGCUUCAGAAGAAAAGAGACUGAGUUUAUUAUUUAUGUAUUUUUGUGGUCUUGGGGAGCAAAACUAGGCAGACACUCAGCCACUGAGCUGCAUCCCCAGCCACAGAGCUGAACUUUUGAAAUAGGAGGAUGGAGGAGAGAGAGAGGCUUUCUCACUAGAAGAACUAUAGGAGCAAAUACUUGAGUCAGGAUGCAAAUGUUUGAGGUAGAAUAACUAAUUUGGAAUAGUAAGAAGUGGGGCUGGAUAAGUAGGGAGAGGCACAAUAGGGACAGAAUUUCUGGCUAGUGAUAAGAGUAUAGGAAAUUGGCAGUUCCUGGAGUUUUCUAACCAGAAAAAUGGUAGAAAUACUCAUCAGAGUAUUGAUGCUUUGAGAUAGGAUGAGGGGAAAAACAGAAACAAAAAUGGUCAGGUAGGAAACUUGCUAGAGUGAAGAAUUGAGUUGAAAAAUGCUGAACUGGCAAAGGGCCAGAAGUAAAGCAUUUUAUAGGAAAUGAUGCCAUGGUGUCAAGGAAACCUGAAACUUAAAAGCCAUUCCAAGUGAGGUGACAGACACUCAAAGACAAUAAUUUACCAAUGUUGUGUGACAGCCACUGAAUUAAUGGCAAAUAUGAUUCAUUCUGUAGAGUAAACUUGUUAAUAUAAUUCUGUGCUAGUUUUGCUUGUGAGACACGUUCCUUCCCGGGGAAAAAAACUGUCUCCUAGCUUGGUGUAAUAGACAUUCGCAGGUAUAACAGACAAAACAAAGAGACAUUUUUCUUGAUCAGAAUUUCUUGAACCACUAAUGGAAAAUGCAUACUGUGAGUUUAUCGAAGACAGGAUUUUUGGCUCAUUAAUUUUGAUACUCAUGGUGUCUAAAGUGUUUGUUAAAUGAAUUAAGGCCAAUGACUGAGUAGUUAGAGAAAAAUAUCUAGGCCCAGAAUACCAAGGCAAUAUAGAGCAAAGCAUCCUGAAUGAUUGUAUUAGAUCCCAAACUAUGUAAUAGGACCAGUGGUCUCCAUCCUCAAGUCAAGGGCACUCAGUGUCAAUCUGCAUGGAGGACCCUGAGCCUUGCUAGUUUGUUGCCUUAAUUACUUCUAAAGCAGGGGAGCUAUCAGAUGGGUCCCCAAAUCUGCUUUAUCUCAUUUUUUUAAAAAUAGCUACUUUCUACUUCUUCAAAAUCAUAAAUCUAAUAGUAAAUCUGUUCCACUUAAAAAGCAUCCCAGGAGUUCCAUACCAGAUCAGUCUUCAGGCAAAGGAAAAUAAAUAAAUAAAUAAAUAAACUUCUAGAACUAAACAUCAUCAUAUUAGUAUCAUCAUCAUUUAGUAUCUCUUAUGAAGAAUUGCAUUAGGACAAAAUCAUGUUACAUAUUUGCAUAGUUCCCUGAAAAUUCCUUAAACAGAUAUCAGUUAUGUGCUAAGUUACAUGAACUCAGUUACUUACACAGAACUGAAAAGCAAAACCACUGUGAGAGUUAGAAUCCAUAAAAAUGAUCUCUUUCUUGAAAGAUGAAAAAGUAUAUAAAACAUAAAUAUGUUCUGCACCUCCCUUGUUUCUGAUUUUUUUAAGGUGCCCUUUAAUAACUUGAUAUUUCCUUUGGAUGUGCAAUCUGUGGCAUUCCAUCAAAUCGAAAAUGCAUGAAUUUAGUUAUAUGUAUUUUUGACAUUGAGAGAAAAAGCUUAAAUAGACAGAUGGCCUGGAUUGACAGAAAUAUUGAUGACUUCAGGUGGGCUAUAACAAAACUGAAAUGGUUAACUCAUAUUGUUAGAAACUAUGAUGUAGUUGGGCAUAGUGCCUCAUACCUGUAAUCCCAGUGACUUGGGAACUCUAGACAGAAUUGAAAUUUCAAGGCCAGCCUCGUGAACUUAGUAAGACCCUAAGCAAUUUAGUGAGACCUUGCCCCAAAAUAAAAAAUAAAAAGCACUGGGGGUGUAGCUCAGUGAUAAAGGACCCUUUUGUACAAUCCCCAGAACCAUAAAACAGAACUACUAUGUUUUGGCAGUCUCCAAUACUUACCCAACUUUGAGUUACUUAUGCUACAUAAUAGAGCAAAUUAUUUAGCCAUCUAGAAGCAUUAGUUUUGUAAUACUUUGUCUUAAAGCCAUCAAUAGAAGCUUUCAUGCUCAAAGUUAGAUAUUCUGAGGGUAUUUUUUUUUUGAUGAUUAAAAUAACUGCAUUAGGUAGGUGUUUGUUAACAGUUGUGUCAUAGCUUUUCUAGGCAAAAACAUUCUUAGUUGUGUUCACUGGCAAAACCUUGGAGGUCACAUUGCCCUUAUCUGUAUUAGAAUGGAUCCAAGAUUGUUUUCUGAGGAAAAUCUUGGCCUAGCCCACAAAUAUUUUGUCUAUUUCCUUAACUUUUAUAAAACAUUAACCCUAGUUCUGAUGGCUGCUUGUGCAAAUUUUUGAAAUAAUAGCUCUAGGUUGCUACCACCACUCUCUGCUUUCUAGGCAUGAUCAGACAUGCUCAGUUGUGAGAAGUCAUGUUUAUGCAGAAUUUCCUGAAAACUAUGCACUCUUUGAAGCCAUCUAAAUUUUAUUUUCAGAUUUAAGAAAAACCCUUAGAACUCUCUCUUUGGCUAGUCUUCUUUUGGCUCCCCCUAAUAUUACUUUUACUGGACUGCAGUCCAGGAUCACUCAAACAUUCUAAGUUCAGUGACUGCAGAAGUGGCUGCGGGACCCCCACAACAGUUUUACAGCUGAGACAACUGCUCACUCAUCACACUGUGUUCUUGCACUGAGCACUUGCAGAAAUUCAGUACCACAAAAAACUGUGCUUCCCUUGAGCAACUAGUUUGUUUUCUAAUCUAAUAGGCAUUUUGAAUUAUGUAAUUGAAUGCAGGCUUCCUGUCGUUGUGUUGCUUGUUUAAAAAUUCAGAAACUUACUGCACAUUUUGUGAAUUACUUUUAUCUCAGUUUAUUAUUUUUUUCUACUCUUAGUUUCCCUUUAGCUGGUUACUCCACUGCUUUUAUAUCUUGUACUGUAUAUAUUUCAAUCUUUGGACUAGAAGAAAUAGAAGAAAAUAUAAGACUAAAUCAGUCAUGAUUACAAAUCAUAAAGAUUAAUUUUUGAAAUAAAGUAAGAGUGGGCCCUUGACAAUCUGAGGGAGGUUUUUUUUUUCUUACCAUUUAAAAAAAUUAUAUAUGACAGCAGAAUGCAUUACAAUUGUUAUUACACAUAUAGAGCACAAUUUUUCAUAUUUCUGGUUGUAAUCAAAGUAUAUUCACGGCAAUUCAUGUCUUCAUACCUGUACUUUGGAUAAUAAUGAUUAUUACAUUCCACCAUCACUAGUAACCCCAUGCCCCCUUCCUUCCCCUCCAACCCAUCUGCCCUAUCUAGAGUUUGUCUAUUCCUCUGAGGGAGGUUAUUUGAUUUCCUUUUCCUUCACCACAAUUGCACCCCACACUUUCACUAUUUAAAGUGACUCUAAAUGUUAAUUUUAUGAGCAGGAGACUGAUAGAAGAAAAUAAAAUGACUAAAGACUGCAGCCAAGUAAAGACUGCUGAGUUACAGAGAAAUAAAGGAUUGUAUUUCUUUGGGUUGCAAGAAGUAGAAUGUGUUAAAAGUUAGGAAUCGAGGGGUACUAGUUCUAAGAAACUUCUGACUGGGAAGCAGGAAGAAUAGGGCUACUUGUUCAGGGGCUAGACUGAAUAUUUGACUUUGGUAAUAGCUUACCACUGUUGUAGGGACAAACGAGGCAAGGCACCGAAGAUAGCAGGAAACAGUUUUUAUUUGGCUGCAGCCUGGUUCAGAAGGCAUGGCUUUUUCUGGAAUCAAUUAAUCCCCUGAACCUCAAGUUCAGGUAGUUCCAGAGUUUUAUACCCAGCAUGUAAGGGGAGGGGCUCAGAAGUUCACAGUCUGCAAAAGUUCACAUAAAAGCAGCUUUUUCUUUCACUGUUCUGGACAGUGAAAGAAAAAGCUGCUUUUAUGUGAACUUCAAGGACAACACCCUUCAAGGACAAUACCUGAGAAGGGGAGAGCUUCUUCUCCCCUUUCUAUUCUCCCCCUGCUAGCUGUUACCAUGGAGCCCAGUUGAUAACUUUCUUAUCUUAAAAAUGUAGACAUCUUGGCUGGGGAUGUGGCUCAAGCGGUAGCGCGCUCGCCUGGCAUGUGUGCAGCCCGGGUUCGAUCCUCAGCACCACAUACAAACAAAAAUGUUGUGUCCGCUGAAAACUAAAAAAAAAAUAAAUAUUAAAAUUCUCUCUCUCUCUCUCUCUCUCUCUCUCUCUCUCUCUCUCUCUCUGUCUUAAAAAAAAAAAAUGUAGACAUCUCUGUGAAGCCCAGUUCAAGUCCAGAGACCUUGUUUGCACAUUUCUUCAAAGUGCUAUACUGGAUAUGUUUGUGAAAAACUAGUAAGGGGGUGUCCAGCACCUGGAGUGCUGGUAUCUUCUCGGCCUGUGGCCAAGUAAACAGGACGGCACAAAAAUAGGAAGUUUAUCUACAUUGAACUCUUUUGCAGAAACUCUUUUGCUGACACUUCUAAAAUCAGACAAGGUGAAGAUUUCUGGAGAAGCCCAGUAAAGACUUUUCAGUGGAGAAAGUGGGUGCCACUUCACCACUACAAAGGACAUGGGGAGUGUCAUGAUAAUAACUACAAAAGGGUGGCAGAGAGCACUGUGAGAGUGUACUGGGGCAGAGUUUUGAGUGACUCCAGAUAACAUGUAAGAAAGCAUACUGUUUCCUUGGUGCUCAGGAAGGUUGAGAACAAGAGAUUUGAGAUAGACCAAGGAUAGUAGCUGGAAUGGUUUGUGAUUAGGUGAGAUAGGAUACUUGGGCAGAAAGAGAAUGCAACCAGGAGGAGAAGCCUUAUUUCUCUAGGAAUUAGGGGAGAGAAAGAUUGGACAGAAGAGAGCUGAGAUCUGGCAGUGGGCCUGAGGACCCAGAGCAGAAGAAACCCUAGGGAACACUUGGCACUUAACUAGGUCCCAGCACAUUAGUAUGUAUUUGAAACUUUGUCACAAUGAUAAAGCUGAAUCAGACUGAACCUGUGUCUAUGCUGUUGUGACCACCUGCUAGUGGUUUUUCUCUUGACAUGGCCCCACAGCUUUUCCUUGAGCUGGAGGGAUCUGCCUUUGGAAGUAAUUCCCUGUGGAGGAGAAAAAAAGAGAUGAAUGGCCACACCAUAUAAUCAAACCAUAAUACUUCUUUUUGUGUGUUGCACAUACCGUUUGCCAGGAAAUCUCUUAUAUUCUUCUUUACCUUCUUCAUCAUCUAAAUCUUAGCUUUAAAGCUAUCCCUUUAGAGGUUAGGUCUCCUUACAGAGCUAAAACAUUCAUAAUCAUUAAAUACCUAAAGGAUUCUGGUGGCUGUGCUUCUGUCUGCCAACCAAAUAAAAAUAAAAGCAUGAAACAAAUAAACAUUUAUCUAUUUUUUUGAGAUAGCAUACAACAAAAUGUAUAUGUAUCUUGAAUAACUUCUUCCUAGAUUUUCUUCAACUCUGUGAUCUCAUUCUGUCUCCUCACACAUGCUGUCCUGUGCUCACUCUUUCUCUGCCUCUUUCUGAGUCUUGCUUUGCUGGUGCCCCAGGCAAGUGCUGAAUUUUCCAACCAGGUCAUUCUGUACUUUCCCCCAUUAAACAUUCCCACAGUGCCCUGUACUACAAGUACUUUGCACAUUGGUAAUCAUGACACUGUUUACUGUGGUCUCUCUUUAAUGUCUGUCUUUCCCAAGAGACUCUUCCAUACGGCAGGGACUUUUCAUCAGUUUGUAAAGUUCAUGAAGAGCACAAAUAUGUGUUUGCUUGACUUGGUAUCCUAUAAAAAGUAAACAACUUUUAAGUGACCAGAGGAGAAAUCAAGGAAUCUUCUAGAACGAUAAACUGGAUUUUUAUGAAUAUAGGGGAUAAAAGAAGAUGAAAACAAUGAGGUGAGAAGACCAAAUGAAAUGAGGUGUUUUCCUGUGCAAGAUUAAUUCAAAGUCUUUACACUCUACUUAAUAUUGUAUUUCUGGUGAGGUAAAUUAGUUUCCUCUAGAUAAUUUAUAUUAAAAUACAAUGUAGAUCUGUAUAUAUUUAUUAUUAGAGUUAAUAAAUAAUGUAGUAAUAUAUUUACUAUUGACAGUUUUAUAAGAUCCAUUCAUAAAAUCAUAGUAAACCUUUUCCUAGUCUGGUGUCCAGAAUAUUAGACUGUAGUCCUCCUUUAUACCGUCAGCCCUUCUGCCACAUUUAUUCAACAAAUAUUUGCUGAACAUUUAGCACAUGUCAGUCAUUGUGCCUGGUACCCAGGUGAAUAGUCCCAUAGGCCUUGCCCUCAAGAAAUUGACAGUUCAAGAUCAGUGGGUACUAAGUUACAGUAAGGAGCAACAAAUUCUGGGGUGCUAUUGCCUGGUAGGAGGAAUAUAGUUAAUAAUUAUGUACCAUACAUUUCAAAAAGCUAAAAGAAAAGAUUUUAAAUGUUUAAAAUGUUCACUAUAAAGAAAUGAUGUGAGGAAAUAGAUAUGUCUAACCUGAUUUAAACAUUACACUAUGUAUGUACAUGUACUGAAACAUUAUAUGAUAUUCCAUUCAUAUCUAUAACUUUUAUUUUUAUGUGCCAGUUUAAAAUAUAUUAAAAAAAGAAGUAGCUUAUAGUUCCAGAUCAAAGGUACUACCCCAGAGUACAAUAAAAAUAUAGACAAAAGUAUUCAGAAGGACUGUAUUUGAACUAUGUAGGAAAGUACAGUUUUUAUAGAAUAAAGAAAGUCUGUAAGAUAAAGUUUAGAUAUUCUUAGUUCUGACACCUUCACCUUAAGAUGUAUUUGUUUCCUGACCAGGUCCUCAAAUAUUCACCUAAGACAUGGUAACUUUGGGGGAUGGAAUAAUGCUUCUUGCUAAUCAGCAUAGACAACACCCAGUGAUCUUGCAUGAAGAAACAUCCUGUUGUGAAAAGGUGAUUACUCAUUGUAUCCACAAAACAGGAGUGUGAUGUCUCUGUGAAUGUAUGUGUGCAUACAUUUAUGCCCGUGAAUGUGUGUGCUUGUGUCAAGAGGAAGUGAUGUGUGCAUGUUUUAUUACUUAGCACACUUGGAUUUUUUUAUUCAGAGAUAUUAAUAAAGGUAAAGUUGAAGGCUUAACCCCAAGACGUGAUUGUUAGUUUUGCACAGAGGAAAAUCUCUGUCUCAUGACUGUAGAUUGCACUUCUAGUCCUCAAAUGCAAUGAGAGAACAUCUAACUUAGUGGAAUCACUAGCAUGACCAGAAAGUCAACUCACUCAUAUUAUGAUGGCUAAGGAUGAUCAUUAUAAGAAGAAAAAGUUACUGUUAGAUACAGUAUUGUGAAAAAAGGAUGAAAAAUCCUCAAUCAUAUUAAGAAAGCUGAACAAUUUUACAGACUUACACACAGAUACUUUUUUCUCAGUACUAUUUUAUGUUUUUUUAAAUCUAUGUACCUGUACAGAAAAAUGCAAACAUCAUUUAGCCUUGAACAAUUCAAUAAUGUGUAUGAAAGCUAAUUAAUAGGAUUUAGUUCCACUGGGUGUGAGGUUGCAUUAGGAUUCCAAAUGACAUUUUACUUUUACUUUAUUGGGUUGUUUUAAUAUGUCAAAUGAGAAGAUGCAAGUUUCCUUACUAAUUAAUUAACUAAUUAGUACUUUGGGAAACAUGCCAGUUUUUAUGUUGCCGCCAUCAUUUUUAUUUUUAGCUCCAUCUGUUUUGUUUUAUCAAGUUGCUGUUUAAACUCUGGUACAAUACUUAGUUUGUAGCUUCAAUACUGUCCCUACUAACUUCCUGUGUUAGUUAGGUUUUCAUUGGUGUGACCAAAAUACCAGACCAGAACAACUUAGAAGAGGAAACAUUUAUUUUGAGUUAACAGUUUCAGAGGUUCAGUCCAUGGUCGGCCAGCUCCAUUGCUCUGGGCCCAAGAUGAAAUAGAACAUCAUAGCAGAAGCACACAGCAAAGGAAAGCUGCUGGCCUCAUUGUAGCUAGACAGGAAAAAGAAAGAGAGAGAGAGAAGGGGAGAUGGAGAGAGAGAGGAGCCAGAGGAACAAGAUAUAAUCACCAAUCGAACACCCACAGUGACCUACUUUGUCCAGCCAUGCCCCACCUGCCAACAUUUACUACCCAGUAAUCCAUUCAGCGUUAACCCAUCAAAUGAAUUAAUCUACUGAUUAGAUCACAGCUCUCACAAUCUAAUCAUUUUGCCUGUUAACAAGCAUACAUUGUCUCCUCUGCUUUUGGGGGACACCAUAUAAUCAAACCAUAAUACUUCCCUAAAAUGAAUACUUCAUUACUAGCCCCUAAGCCUGCUCUUUGCUCCUCAAUAUCCUAUACCAGAAAGAAUCUCUUUUUAUUUAAGGCUAGUUCAUGGUCACAUAAGAAUCUCAGAGUCUUUACAGUUCUCAUGGAUUUUUUUAGAACGUAUGGAUGGAAUCUGUCUCCAGUUGAAACCUGGAGAUUUCCUCUUGGAUUUCCCUCCCUUUUCUUGCCCUUUCCUGGGAACUGAGUUCCCAACCUCUCCCUGCCCUUUGAAUCAAAGACCAGAGGUGCACCACUGACAGAAAGUACUUGUAUUCUUCAAAGGAGAGCAUUUGUUGCUGUCAAUCACCUAUUGUAAAAUAACUCUGAUGAGUAUUAUUAAUUUUUAUGUUGAUCCUAUUUUAUUUAAUAUUAUUAUUAUUAAUAAUAAUUAAUGAUAUCAUCCUCUAUAUAGAAGGUGAGUAAAUAAAUUACAGUCUGCUCUUUAAUCCCUUUUUUCCUCAUCUGACUCAAAUUUAUGUUGAUUAAAGGUUAGAAUAAAAGUAUGCUUAAUUGGGCUGGGGUUGUGGCUCAGUGAUAGAGUGCCUGCCUAGCACAUGUGAGGUACAUUUAGUGGUUUAGUGGCUUAGUGGUUUGGAAAGCGCUUAAGAAGAAAAUACUGUUGAUUUUAGUUGUCAGUAAACUUAUUGUUUCACUUCAUCUCAGCCACAUUGAAAAACUAAAUAAAGGUAUUGGGUCCAUCUACAACUAAAAAUAUUUUUUGAAGUAAGCUUGAUUAAAUUGUGCUAUUUACCGAAUGCUACAGUUUAUGAUGUAAUAAUCAAACACUAUACAUUCUUAUGGCUAAUAUAGAAAUUUUUAUAACAAAUUAUUGUAUAUAAUAAUAAAUAAAUUUAUAACAAUAAAUGGGGAACAUCCUAGAAGGUAUGCUAAUCUAUUACCAGAAAGAAUCUCUUCUUAUUUAAGACCAGUUCAUAGUCACAUCAGAGUCUCAGAGUCUUUACAGUUCUCUGUAAAAUAAUUGUGGAAUAAGGAAUAAAAGACAUCUUUUGAGAAUAUACAGUGUGAGGAUCUCAAAGUUUGUAUUCUUUAUGUCUCUCUCCAUAAAAUAUCAUCUUUGUGGAUGAGAGCAGAUCCUUAAUAUCUUGUCCUUAGCUGUCUUUUCUCUCUGUAUCCCCAGUUGGUUUCAACCUUUCUCCCCUGCAAGCAAUUGUCUUUAUUUCAUCAUUCAGACUGAGUCUUUUGAAAGCUCAUAAAUCAACAGAAGCCAGAAAAUUACAAAUGCACACUGUAUGUUUAAUAAUAGUGCACAAUCUGAUUACUGUAAGUACAAUUUUAAAUUUUUUCUGUUCAAACAGUUUAUGUGAAUAGCAACUUCUAUUUUCUUAGACUUACUUGAGUGGAAAAAAAUCCCUUUGAAGCUACAACAGAACUUGUGGUACAAUAUUGAUUAAUUGGUAAUGCAAAUUAGCUUGUGCCUACCAUCAGAACGUGGAAAAAUAUAUUUGAGUCUGAAAGUAAGACCCUCAGUUCUGUCUGUGCACUUCCUUAGUUGGUUGAAACUCUCAAAUAUACCUCCCUUUUAACAGCGGUAAAGGUUGUUUUACCUUAUGGAAUAAAAAAAAAAAAAAGAUAAGUUGACCUUUUCCAUUUUAUCUGAAAGAAAGUGCUUAAGAAGAAAAUACUGUUGAUUUUAGUUGUCAGUAAACUUAUUGUUUCACUUCAUCUCAGCAACAUUUUCCAAACCACUAAACCACUAAAUGUUCACUGGAGACUUUCAGGUCAUGGCAAGAUGACAUAGUAAUUUGGUGCUUAAUUGAUUUAAUAUUGAGUGCCAAGAAACAAUUGAGGCUCAACCCACAAACCCCAAAUCCAUUACAUUAUCCUAUUUUGAAUGUUUAAAAAAAUAAGUAGAAGAUUUUAAAAUAGCCACUUCAUUUUAGGCUCUAUAAUGAUAGUAUGUGAAAUUAUUAAGUUGUAUAGUAUUACAGAGCUUUCAGAAGACUCAGAUUUGAGCUGAUGUAUUUCAUAAGGAAAAAUUCUUAUUUGCUUGCUAAUUUACCUGAAGAUAUUCAUCUCUAAUGUGUACUCCCAGAAAUGUAAAAAUGUUCCAUCGCAUUUCAAAUUAUCAGUAGCAGUUAAUUAAGGUUCAAAUUGCUUUGAGGAUGCUAAAAUUGAUUUUAUCAUUUUUGUCAAUUUCUUUUUAUUGUGCCAUUCCUGGGUUUAUGCCAAUAAUUUGUCAGAUGCAAUUACAUUUGUGAAUUUAAUUUUCUUUUGCACUGUAUGGCAAACUAGGUAUAUUCCCAUAUUACUAGGUGUUUUAUAGGAGUUACUCUUGAUUUUCCUUAAAAUUAUUUACUGGUUUUUCAUAUUAUUUCCCAUGAUGUCAUUUACUCUCAUAAUAUGAAUGUGGCAAUCAUUUUAGUAGUUAGAAAAGCUAUAACAAUGCAAAUAUGUACUUGGCCUUCAUUGGUCUUUAAUCCACUACUGCCAAUUUAAUCUACAUACCAGACAUUAAAUAACAACAGAAUUAAUAACAAUAAUACCUACUAUUUAUUGAACACUUACUAGGCCCUAAUCCCUGAACUUAAUACAUUGUCUUAAUUAACCUUCUUUGUAACCUGAGGAUGGCACAGUUUCUAUCUACCAUAUGGCCAAAGUGGUUGUUAAAACACUGAAGUACUUUUAUUGUGGUAGUGAAGAGCUGAUGUCCCAAGCUCCCCAAGUGUCCUUUGUACCUUUUUUCUCCAAUUUCCCAUCUUUUCUCCUGGGGAUCUCUCCAUCUUGUCCUCCCCAAAUCCAGAAACUAGAGGAUUAACAAUGGCAUGGCAGAGACCCUCUGUGACCUCUGCUCUAGCAGCCAGACUUCGUUCUGAUGUGUUGGUACCCAAGCUGUUCCAGUAGUUAAAUAUUGUGGUUAUUAGCAAAGAUGUAGAUACUAUCAUUACUGUUCUGCAGGAGGGAAAACUCAUAUAAAUAUGUAAAAGUUCAUCAGUUUGCCCAAGAUUGCCCACCUAGAAAGUGUCAGAUCCAGGACUCAAACCUAGGUCUCUCUCAAGUUAAAAUCCUUGCUCUUUUUUUGGGGGGUGGGGGUGGAGAAGUACCAGGAAUUGAACUCAGAGGUACUCAACCCUGAGCCACAUCCCCAGCCCUAUUUUGGAUUUUAUUUAGAGAUAGGGUCUCACUGAGUUGCUUAGCAUCUCCCUUUUGCUGAAACUGCUUUGAACUUGUGAUCCUCCUGUCUCAGCCUCCCAAGCUGUUGGGAUUACAGGCAUAAACCACAUCGCCUGGCAAAAUCCUUGCUCUUAACUAGUAUAGUGGACUAAAAAAUAGAGAAAACCAGCCGGUGAUUAGUGUUGACUUCCCAGGCCCCAACAUGGAUAGCUAUCUACUCUGACUACUUGUACAAUGAAUUUUAAAUUUAAUUAUGUUUUUCAUUAGGUUCUCAGCCAUAAUAAUGAGCAUGCAAGUACUAGGUUGAUAAUGGAUACUUUGCAUUAUUCCACCAGCAUCCUGUAUUUACUAAUUUAGCCCAUGUUGUAUUUUGCAAAAAUGUCUCCAUAGGUAGAAAUUACCUUCUUUAUUCAUCCCUUUUAAAAACAUUUUAAAAUGUUAUUGUAUUUUUAUACAUUUAUUUUAUUUAUAUAUUUUUAUGUGGUUCUGAGGAAAGAACCCAGUGCCUCAUAUGAGCUAGGCAAGUGCUCCACUACUGAGCUACAAUCACAGCCCCUAUUCAUCCCUUUUUGGAUGAUGCCCCCUAUUCAGACAAAUGAUUAAACACACCAAAAAUGGUAAAUUACAAACUUAACAUUUUUAUAUACUUUUAAACUUUAUUUACUUUUAUAUAAUUUUAAUAUCCCAAAUCCAAGUAUCAUAGGCUGAAACCCCUUAGCAUUAUAUUUCGCUUCUUCUCUCUUAUCUACCUUUUCUUUCUUUCCAUUGUUAAUAAAAAACCCAGUGCAAAAAUAAAAAAACCUAGCCUUCAUAUGGACAUUAUGAAGAUCCAUAAUGUCCAAGUCACUUAUAUAACUCCAUCCUUAGUAUCAGAGAAAAUUCUAAUUCUAUUAGCAUGUGUUGUAUAUUUUUUAAAGGCAGUUAGACCAACAGGUGAAUCAAAAAGUCUGCUGUCUACAAAGCACAUUUUUAUUUAGCAAAUUGCAUCAGUGCUCUGAGAACUGGAUAUACCACAUCUAUCUGCCAAAGCAGAAAAAUUUGACAAGGGAUGCAGAAAUACUUCAGGUAUGGUGAAAGAAAUGAUAGGUUUUAUGUGUAGGUGAUGUAUGGAGUGCAGAAAUUAUAAGACCUCUCCAAGGUUGGCCUAUCUGACAUUAGGGACAGGGCUAACAUGUCUUAAUGGAGGCCUAGCAUGACAACCAAAGGCAUACUGGAUCUUUCUCUGGGCAGCAUAUGUGUAUUUCUUGCUAUAAUAUUAUGAAAUAUCAUAAAUGAAGGUUUGUCCUUCAUUUCUCGACAAAUAUCUUUAUAUAUCUAGAAUCUCCAAAGUGACACAUAUCUUUUGUGUGCUAAUCAGAUGACUGGUGGCUGGAGUUUCCUCCUUAGCCUCAGGAUGGGGGCUGUUUGCCAGGGGCACAAACCUUGCAAUUAGAAGGUUGGAGCUUACAGUACCUCCACCUAACCUAGGGGAGGGGAAAAGGGCUGAGGGUUGAAUUGAUAAACCAAUAGUUAAUGAUUUGAUCAAUCAGCUUACUUAAUGAGAUGUCCUUGAAAAAAAAAAAGAGGAAAGAACUGAGUUCUGAGGGCUUUCUGAUAGCUGAACAAUGGAGGUCCCAGAAGGUGAUAUUUCUAGAGAUGGCAUGGAAGCUCUAGGCCCCUUCUCCCAUAUCUUGCCUUAGGCAUCACUUCCCUCUGUUUAUCUGUUUCCUUUUUACUAUCCCUAAUAAUAAACCCAUAAAUGAAAGUAUGUUCCCCUAUCAUAGGCAAGUAGAUUGCCACACUGGCAAAUAGAUUGGACCCAAGGAGAGUACCAUGGGAACCCUGAUUUGCAACUAGUUGGUCAGAAAAACAGGCCAUAAUCUAUGCUUAUGAUUGGAGUCUGAGGUGCUUGGCAGUCUUCUGGGACUGAACCCUCAACCUAUGGGGUCUUCCUCUAUUUCCAGGCAGAUAGUGUCAAAAUUGAAUUGAAUUAGAGGAUAGCCAGCUGGUAUCUACUGGAGAAUACACUGGAGAAGUGUUUGGUGUUGUGUAUUGGGGAGGACCCCAACAUCUAGGGUCACAGAAAUGUUCCAUGCUGUGAAGGUAUAAUGGGAGAAACUCAAAGUUUGUUUUAUUCUUAUAGCCUUUCACUUACUGGCUCAUUUGAAUUUGCAGUGGGCAUGGAUAUGUCUAAGACUUCUGGGACCAGCAGAAGAGUCAGCCAGCAGCAGCACCAAGCAACCUUACCCCAAAGCAGCAGCAGGGAUGAGAUUACCUGGUGUCUCUCCUGGGCCCUGAGCAACACCUGGGGCCCCAAGGUUGUGACCACACAGUUCUCUGAUGAUGUUUAAUCCUGGGACUUUCAGUAACAUUUAGGAAGAGAUACAGCCUGCCCCUGCAUUACCUUUCCACAGGUUAAAGGUGGAUGAAGGAAGAUCUGAGCUCCGAGAGCUGUAAGAACAAGACCAAAGCUUGACUUUUUCGUUGUCUUUCUGCUCAAAGGGAUCAAAAUUAGGGAGCAGUGGGCUGGGGUUGUAGCUCAGUGGUACGGUGCUUGCCUAGCACACGUGAGGCCCUGGGUUCAAUCCUUAGCACCACAUAAAACUGAAAUAAAGGUAUUAUGUCUACCUAUAACUAAAAAAUAAAUAUUAAAAAAGAAAAUUAGUGAGCAGUGAAAGCAGGAGCUCUUGUGGUUGCUGAGGACUGGAGCUAGCAGUGUGAGAAUCCCCUGAGGCCCUGACGGAAGGUGGAAGAAACUUGGAAGGGGAGGGCUGAAUCUCCACAAAGUACCUUAGAGAACCUAAGCCCAGGAGGCUUGUGUUAUCUUUAUUUAUUUUCAGUUAUCUUUAUUUAUUUUUUCCUAGGAACCCGGGAAUUCUCUUCAAAACAACAAAAAAAAGUUACCCAAGUUUUGAGAAGUUCUGUUCUCCUUAGAUCCACUCUCUGAAACUGAAUGGUGGAGUCAUUUAAUAGUAGUCAGGAAGAUACUGUCAGAAUGGUGAGGGGCCUCUCCCCUGCUCAUGGAAGGCCAUCAUGUUUUUACAAGUGCAGCCAACACUUCAACACAUUUAUUAAGUACCUACUGUGUAUUAGGAGCUGUAUUUUUCAUGACCAUAGUUCAAGGGAGAGGGGGAAAGGGAGGGCUACAUCACCUUGGGAACAGAUGGUUAACUUCUGGAUGUCAUCUCUGCACCCACCAUUAUGUUCACAUACUGUAGCUGAAAUGGGACCUGGUGUGCAUUCUGCCCACUAGUAAGAAUGUGCUAAUUUUGAAAUGGAAAAGUUCUGCUUGACAUUUGUCAGUGAAGAGAUUACUUAGAGAAGACUUAGAGAAAUCACUGCUUCAUAGAGGCCUGUCCAGGCAGGAUUAGAAAACCUGUUUCACCAUAUUUUGAAGUUUAUCAAACAGGAUAUUCAAUUUAGCAAAUUUCCUAACAAACUGACAUGAAAUCAGAAAUCUAUUUUAUUAAUUUACAGUGAGAAAGAAAACUUCCCAGGAGUUAGAAAGCCUGUUGUUUAAUUUCUCUUCCUCUUAUUCUCACUGAACACAAACCAAAAUAAGCCCAACUUUCAGAAGAUACCUAGAAGAAGAGGAGGUAUUUAUGCAAGUGUUGUAUUUAAUGCCAUCAUGUUAAUAGAGCCAAGUACAUGCAUUUCUGCUCCAAGGAUUACCACAAAGUAGACCAGAUAUUUGCAGAAACUAGAUGGGUUCGUUUCUUUGAGAUAACAGUUAACUGGGCUUUGAAUCUCUUUUUCCCUGUUUCUGUGACUGAUCAGAUAUCUACCAUUCUUAUCUUCAAUAUGUCAGUUAGGUGGUAGUCUAUUUUGUUUCUUUAAGAUAACUUUGUUCAUCUCUGUUGAUUUUGACCCUUUUGACCAGAUGAUGAUAUCAUUUCCCAGUCUUCAGGAUACCUCUUUAUUCGAUGUAUUUCCUCCCAUGUACUUUUUAUAAGAGUGAUUACUGAGCUUUUAGCUACUUCUUACUCUUUUCUAAAAAAUAUAUAUUUCUUAGGUAUAGGUGGACAGAAUGUCUUCAUUGCUGGGAGCCAUUAGCCAAGUAGGUAUGACAAUUUCCUUGCCAGUGUACCCCAUGUUGCUUAGUGGAAGGACUCGUGGAAAUAGGACAUUUUGCAGUGACAUUGCAUCUAAGGUGACCUUGCUCAAGGACCAGGGCGGAUCCGGGUUUAGGGUGUUCCCUAUUUAGGACAAUCCGGGUUUAGGGUGGUUCCAGGUUUAAGGUUAUUCCUGCUGGGAAUAGGGCGUAUCCUGCUGCCUGAGUUCCCCUUGAGUUCUCACGGGAUUCAGACAGUAUUUUUUGGGAGACAGAAGCCCAGUGGGGGUGGAUUUGGGCAGAGAACGUGGAUUUCCCCAGAACGUGAUUGUAGACGGCUGGUGUGAGUUCGGGAAUAAAGAGUUGCUGUUUGAAUCUACAAGCUGUGUGGUGGCUCGUGAUUUUGUGCCCAGCCAGACUACGGCACUUCAUUUUAUUUUAUUUUAUUGGUGUUGAGGAUUGAACCCAGAGCCUCACGUAUACCAGGCAAGCACUCUACCUCUGAGCCACAACCCCAGCCCAUACUUCUUACUUUGAUAUUUCUAAUUUUACAUUGGUUUCAGAAAUGGAAGAAAUAGGGAAAUAGGGAUAUAGAUGUAGACUACAUCAGUAACAGGCUAGUUUUAAAAUUAAGGUUUCCUAAUGCAUAACCCUUUGAUAAAUUCAUUAGUUUUCAAAAGUUAAUUCUACACUAUCAUUGUUAUUUUAAUUAGUAUACUUAUUACUUAAUUGGGCACUGAGGUACCAUUUAAAAGAAGAAAAGUCCAUUACAUACUAGGAAAAACAAUUGAUUAAAUUUUCUAGAAGUAAAAUCCAUGGGAGCUUAAAAAAAAAAAAAGUCUUGUAAAAUCAGUCACCUGGGUAUUCUGUCACUGAUUGUGUCCACAUGGGUAAAGAAAAGUGGUAAAGCCAGCAAUUGUUCAAAAUGGAGAAGCAAAACUCUGUUAGUUUUAAAUCAACUAAAGUCAAACUAGUAGCUUGGCAUUGAGAACCUGGCUAGCAUAUGAGAUUUAAGCUGGUACCAGUUUGUGCUAGCUACUCUCGUUUCCUCCAGAACCUCCUACUCCUCUGGUUUGCUGAUCUGGAUUCUGCCAAAGCCCUGAUUAGGCUUGGAAAGUCAGUCCAUUUAUGUUUAUCAGGAUGACUAUAGGAUUAGUUAUUAAAGCCACUGUGUUUUCUGGUGGAAAAUCCAAAUGGGAGGGAAUGUCAUUAUAUAUUCCAACCCCCAGGGAAACUUCCUCACCCAAAACAUUACCCCUAUUCCUCCCAUUUUCAAGAAAUCCAGUGAGCUUGGUGCUGUGUGGCACACAUCUGUAAUCCCAGUGGCUCAUGAAACUGAGGGGGGCGUGCAGGGAUGGCAAAUUCAAAGCCAGCCUCAGCAAACUCGAGGUGCUGAACAACUCAGUGUGACCCUGUCUCUUAAAAAAGGGGGGGGGGCUGAGGAUGUGACUCAGUGGUCAAGUGCCCCUGAGUUCAAUCUCCAGUACCCACCCCCAAAAUCUAGUGAGUUAAUAUUUGCUAAAUAUGUUGAUUUUUCAGAAGAAUAGGUUUUUAAGUUUUUUAAAUUGUAUGUACCCCAUUUUUUUUAUCCAAGUAGGAAUGUGUAGAGGCUAAUAAUGUUUUUUUAUUUGGAGUAAAUUCCCAAUCCAGAAUGCCAUGGUGUGAAUGUUUGUGUCCCUCUAAAAUUCAUUUUUAAUGUGAUGGUGAGACCUUUGAAGAGGUGAUUAAAUCAGGAGGGCAGAACCCUCACAAAUGGGGUUAGUGCCUCCAUAAAAGAGGCCUGAAGGGUCUUGCAUGUCCUCUCUCCUAUGUGAAGACAGAGAAAACACUGUUUAUGAAGUAGAGAGUGAUCCCACCAAAGACUGAAUCUGCCAGCACCUUGAUCUUGGCCUCUAAAACUGUAAGAAAUAAAUUUCUCUUGUUUAUAAGCCACCCAGUUUAGAGUAUUUUGUUAUAGCAGUAUGGACAAACUAAGACUCUAAAUCCAGGGAUAUAAUUUAAUGUAAUCUUAGACUAACUUUUGUUUUGGUAUGCUAAAUUCCUAUUUUAAAGUUAUACUUUAAAAAAUACUAAAAUAGCCUGUAAUUCCAGUGGAUUGGGAGGCUGAUGUAGAAGGAUCUUGAGUUCAAAGCCAGCCAGCCUCAGCAAAAGCAAGGUGCUAAGCAACUCAGUGAGACCCUGUCUCUAAAUAAAAUUAAAAAUAGGGCUGCAGAUGUGGCUCAGUGGUUGAGUGCCCCUAGUUCAAUCCCUGCUAUCUAAAAAAAAAAGACUUAAAAUGAUUGGCAUUAACUUUUUCCUAAGAAUUUAUGGUAUGUACAUUCAUAGAAAUUUCUUAAUAGCUUUUUAUUAUGGCUAAAGUAUAACCAACCGAACUUUACAAAAAAAAAAAAAAAGAAGUUAAAAUCAGAAAUAUCUAUGCCCACUUCUCUCAAGUCAAUUCAUGAAAACUGAGAAUUCACCAGAUUUAAAAAUUCUUGGCUUCUGUUACAUAGUUACUUGUUCAGACAUGCCCUUUAAUAACCAAAGAAAAAUGUUCCUUCUACCCAAGAAGGAAUAUAGUUAGAAAAAAAUGUUGGAAAUUAUGACAUUCCUUCCCUUAGCAGUAAUAAAAGGAAUAUGAGUGACUGCAUUUUAAAAAUAGCAUUUUAUAUCUAUUAAAAGAGAAAAAAAAGCUGUUUAUUACAACAGUGUCAAUACUAAAAUUAUGUGCUCAUUCUUUUUUUAAUCAACGCAUAAUAAUUGUACAUAUUCAUGGGGUACAGUGUGAUAUCUUGAUACAAAUAUUUAAUGUGUAAUGAUCACAUCAGGGCAAUUAGUAUAGCCAUAACCUUGAAUAUUUAUCAUUUUUUUUAUAUUGGGAACAUUCAGAAUUCUUUCUUCUGGCUAUUUGAAAUACACAAUUUAUUAUUAUUAACUAGAGUCUCUUUACUGUGCCAUAGAACCCAAAACUAGUUUCUCUUAUUGAUCUAUUUUUGUACCUAAUAACCAACCUCUUUCUGCCAGCCAUCCCCACCCACCUAACCUCUGAUAACCAACCACAUUGUACUCUUCUAUGAAAUCAAACUUUUUAGCAUCUGACCCUGCUGUAUUAGAGUGAGAGUAUGUACUAUUUAUUUUUCUGCGCCUGGCUUAUUUCAUUUAACAUAAUGAUCUCCAAUUCUAUCCAUGUUGUUACAAAUGACAGAAUUUCAUUUUUAUGGUUGAAUGGCAUUCCAUUGGGUGUAUACACCACAUUUUAUGUAAGCAUUUAUUCAUUGAUAGAUACCUCAGUUGAUACCUUAUUUUGGCUAUUGUGAAUAGUGCUGUAGUAAACAUCAGGAUGCAGAUAUCUAUUUGAUAUUCUGAUUUCCUGUCCCUUGAAUACAUACCUAGUAGUGGGAUGACUGUGCUCUGACUGUGCUCAUUCUUGAUGAUACUAUGAAUUAAUACAAUCUGUUUAAAAAGGAAUAUGGCAAUAAGAAACAAUAGCUGUAAAUAUAGUCAAAACUUUUGUUAUUCCACUUUGAGGAAUUUAUCCCAAUAUAAUUAUUCAAAAAAGUAAAAAGAUAGAUAAAUGAAUACACUCAUUAUCUCUUUAUACACAAUAAUAAGAAAUGAGUAUAAGCAAAAUAAUCAAUAUUAGGGUAUAGACUAAAAUUUUUAUUAAUUGCCUGUAGAAACUAGGUACCACACUCCUUCAUCAACCUUAAUUGAAACUGAGUGCCUAUUUCAUAAUACAAGUGAGUAUUACAGACACUGCAGACAAUCCAGCAGCUGACACUGAUGAAUAAUGAUCCAUUCCAUAAUAUAAUAUCAAAUUUAUAAAACUUAGUUACUAAAGUUUUAAUGAAAUUGUAGUUUCAAUAGUCAUCUAUCCUAAUAUAACCUGGUUCUCAGAGUAACCUAGUAAUUGAUGAGAAAAUUUUUUGAUAUCUUUUUAUUCUUUUUAGUUAUAUGUGAUAAUAGAAGUAUUUAGACAUAUUAUACAUACAUGGAGUAUAAAUUCUCAUUCUUGUGGUUGUACAUGAUGUGAAAUUCUAUUGGUCGUAUAUUCACAUAUGAACACAGGAAAGUUAUGUUCAGUUUAUUCUACUGUUUUUUCUGUUCUCACCUCUUUCACUCCCCUCCCUUUGUCUAAUCGAAUGAAUUUUUAUUCUCCCCCUUCCUUAUUGUGUGUUAACAUCCACAUAUCAGAGAGAACAUUCAACCUUUGGUUUUGGGGGAUUGGAUUAUUUCACUUAGCAUGAUAGUUUCCAGUUCCAUCCAUUUACUGGUAAAUGCCAUAAUUGCAUUCUUCUUUAUGGCUGAGGAAUAUUCCUUUGUGUAUAUAUACCACCUUUUUUAAAUCCAUUCAUCUGUUGAAGGGCACCUAGGUUGGUUCCAUAGCUUAGCUAUUGUGAAUUGAGCUGCUGCAAACAUUGAUGUGGCCAUGUCACUAUAGUAUGCUGAUUUUAAUUCCUUUGUAUAUAUGCUGAGGAGUGGGAUAACUGGGUCAAAUGAUGGUUCCAACUUUUCUGAGGAUUCUCCAUGCUGCUUUCCAGAUGGUUGUACCAAUUUACAGUCCCAAUAGCCAUAGUGUACCUUUUCCCCCACAUCCUUGCCAAAUUUAUUGUUGAAAUGCUUCUUUAUUAUAGUAUUAUAGUCAAUAAAUGAAGAAGGAAUAAUAGAGUUAGAAUAUCACUAUAUAGGCAUUACUAUGGCUGCUAGCAUGCCAGGAUGAUGGCAGGCAAUGUGUGGCUUCUGGGCUUCUGACAGAAAUAUGUAACAGUGAGGCAGUCUUGUCCCCCACCAAAAAAAAAAUUAUAUAAUGAUGAAGUCUUAGAUUUUAAUUUAUAGAAAAUGCACAGGCUUGAGGAACAUGUUCAAUUACUAUAUGGAUAUUCAGUCAAAGUUUAGACAGUGGGGACUCCUAUAAGGCUAUGGUCCUUUUUCUUCAAUAAUCAAAAUUUCAAGGAAAAAGAAGACCUAUGGGGAAAUUAUAGAUUAAAAAAAGCAAAAUAGAACAGACACCAAACUUCAAGAUAUAUGUGUGUGUGUGUGUGUGUGUGUAUAUAUAUCAAAUAAUAUAUAUCAUGUAUAUAUACAUUAUACAUCAAACAAUAACAAUGUAAAGACAUUGUGUGUAGUUUGCAUAAACUGUUCUUAAAAAUGUUUUAUACUUUCAAAAAGGAAAAUGUGAGUAUUGGAUAUUUAAAAGUAUUAAGUAAUUAUUCUUGAUUUAUGGGGAAGUAGUGGUAUUGAGGCUAUUUUAAAAGUCCUUUUUGUGGAUACCUAUGAUCCCAGUGGCUAGGAACUCUGAGACAGGAGAAUUGCAAGUUCCAGGCCAGCUUCAGCAAAUUAGUGAGGCCCUAAGCAACUUAGCAAGACCCUGUCUCAAAAUAAAAAAAUGAAAAAGGGCUGAGGCUGGGGCUCAGCACCCCUGAGUUCCAUCUCUGGUACCAAAAACCAGAAAAGUCUUUUUCAAAAAGGUAUGUAUUGAAAUAUAUAGAAUAAGUGAUAUGUAUUAUUUGGCAGUUCUUCAAAUAGAAGUUACAUCAAGGCUGGAGAUGUGGCUGCAUGGUAGAUCACUUGCUUGGCAUGCAUGAGAUCCUGGAUUUGAUCCCUACCACUGCAAAAGAAAAUUCACAUCAAUAUUUAUUUAUUCAUUUGAUAAUGAGGAUUGAACCCAGGGACACUUAACCAUGGAGUCAUGUCCCCAGCCCUUUUUAUUUUUUUAUUUUGACACAGAGUGUCAAUAAGUUGCUUAGGGCCUCAGUUGCUAAGACUUGCUUUGAAUUUGUGACCCUUCUGCCUCAGCCUUUUGAGUUGUUGCACCACCACACUCAUUCACAUCAGUUUUGUUUUGUGAUUGAAGCCCAUAUAAUGUGGCUUGUAUUCACCACACUUUUCCAUUUGCAAAUUAAUUUACCACAUUUGAAGGACUCCUUAUCUUUCUUCACUAGAGCCUAUUUAGAGCUUAUUUCUGCUUUAAGAAUUUUGUCUAGCUUUCCCCAGCAUCUCAAUAGCAUAUGAACUACUUCCCAGAUUUGUUUCUUGGGGGAAAAAAUCUCAAACAAUUCUGCUAUUAAAGUAUGUUCUGAACCUGGCACUGUUAUCAUAAAGGAAAGCCAUAAAAUUGGAGGCCAAUUAAACUUACAGGACCUUAUCAAAUGUACAUGAUGGAUUAAACAAGAAGUGUGAUUGAAAAGUUUUUUUAAAAAGUCUCUCUCUUGGGACUGAGGUUUUGGCUCAGUGGUAGAGCACUUGCCUAGCAUGUGUGAGGCACUGGGUUCGAUCCUUAGCACCACAUAAAAAUAAAUAAAAUAAAGGCGUUGUGUUCAUCUACAACUAAAAAAUAUUUUUAAAAAAGUCUUUGUCUUGAGGAAUGGACCAUUUAAGGACAAAAUAAUGUGGAAAUGGCUAUAGCAACAUGGAUGUUAUUGAUGUUUUACUGUGUGUGGGUCCUGGGCUAAGUGACUUGUGUAUCUGGUCCUCAUGACUCCAUGAAGAGUUACUACUGUUAUUAUUCCUGAAAUACUGUUGAGGAAGCUGAAGUAUAAAAACCUAGAUAAUUGCUCAACAUCACAUAGACACUAGACUGGCAUAGCAAAGGUUGGAACCCAGGUCUUACUAAAGUAAAAGUCCAUGCUAGGUGUGAUUACACAAAACUUGUAGUAUCCUAUUCAAUCAUGACUUCUUGCAGACUUUCUUUAUGCAGAACAAUAUACAGCAAACAGCCUAUUCAGACAUUGUCACAUGAAUGUUGUGGUUAAUUUUGUCAAUUGGUCAACUAUUGUUCUGGGUGUCUCGGCAAGGGAUGAGAUUAACAUUUUAAUUGGUAGAAUAGAGCAAGUUGUUCCCCAUAAAAUGGGUGGGCCUUGUCCAACCAGUUGAAGGUCAAAAUGGAACAAAAAAGAUUAACCUUCCCCUAAAUAAAAGGGACUUUUCCAGUAGAUUGGCUUUGGACUUGGUAAAAUCAUCUUUCUUCCUGGAUCUCUGCCUACUGGCUUUCAUUGCAGAUUAUGACUUGCCAGUCUCCAUACUCACAUAAUCCAAUUCUUACAAUAAAUUUCCUUUGAUAGGUAGAUGUAUCCAAUUGAUUCUGUUUCUCUGGAGAACCUUGACUAAUAAAAAUGUAUUUCAAGAAACCCAAAUAGAAAGAAGCAGUAUUUAAAUUAUCACUAAGAUUUGCAACACUGACAGACAUUUUAUACGAAAGUAGUCUUUCCUUCCCAUGAAUCAUUCCUGAAAUAAUGUGUUUCUAAAAACCAUGAACAGAUGAUCCUGCUUGCUAUAUUUGAUUUUGUCUUAGAGAAAAGACUAAAGGAAACAUGUUUUAGUUUUUCCAUUACCAUUUUUCCAUAUUAGAAAUGUAGACCUUCUAUUGGUCUCGUACUACUACUGUAUGGAAUAAAAUUAUUUAUCAGUUUAGUACAAAUUGGCAGCCCUCAUAAAACAAUCGCUGGCCCCAGGUAGCUUAGUUGGCAGACAGACAAGCUAAACCAUUACAAUACAAUAUGAUAUAUGCUGUACAGGAGGCAUGUCCCAAGUGCAGUGAGUACAAAGAAGUCUAAAUCUACAGGAAAGUUGGGAAGAUAGCCUUAGAAAUAACAAUUUUAAUAUAAAAAGUGAAUUUUGACUUAUUCCCUUAUUAAACACUUAUUCCAUUUGGAUCUUCACCUAAGAAAGGCACCACCCACCUUGUAUCAACACAAAAGGAAUCUUUAACCUACUUUUUCCCUUGCUACUUAGCCUUCUCAGCUUAGUUCCAGAAUUAAUAAGUAUUCUAUCUUAAAACCCAUGAAGGUUAGGCAUAGAAACGCAUGAUUUGGGAGGCUGAGGCAGGAGGAUCACAAAUUAGAGACCAGCAGUUUAGCUGAGGCCCUAAGCAACUUUGUGAGACCCUGCCUCAAAUUUAAAAAGAAAACAAAAAGCAAAAACAGCGGGGUAUGUGGCUCAGUGGUAAGUCCCCCUGUGUUUAAUCCCCAGUACUUCCCCCACAAAUACCCAUGAAGAAUUCAUGUUUUCUUGGGCAAUUCUUUUUUUUUUUUUUUCUCUUUCUGCCCUUUACAGAGUGGAAGGGUGGAUUUCAUGGUAGCAUUUUGCUGAAUUAAAUUUUACAUAUCCAAAAUUUGAUCAUGUCCCUUUUCCUCUUGUGCACUGCAGGUCUCCAGUAUCAGACCUACAGAUAAAAAUGAUUCAUAUCUCCAUUGGUUUUUCCACACUCAAAUGCAAUUAAGGAGUUUGAAAUUGUUCAAAAUAUAAAGUUUUCCUCCUUUCCUGGAUUAAUUUUUUUUGUGUGAGCCCUCCCUGGGAAGUUGUAUUUAAGAGCUUGAUCUUCACUGACAUUAAUGAGAUUAACUGACAUUAAGCAGCCCCUUUAUGCCUAUUUAUUUAGUCAGGGGCAAACAAGUGCUUCAAUGCAUGCAAGAACUUAGUGCUCAGACACUGAACUCCUUGCCAACUUGAGUCUUCUAGCAUCUUUCUUGAUUUCAUUAGAAUCUUUACUUAGAACACAUUUUCACAUCUGUUGUUAAGAAAGUAGAAAUAAUGGUCAGAUUUUUAGCAUAAUUCUGUGGUGUGUAUAUAAUAUAUAUGUGUGUGUAUGCAUAUAUGUAAUAUAUAUGCACAUAUAUACAAAUUUCAUGAUCAUAAAAGAGUUUCUGUCCCUUGAUGUCCUUUUUUCCCCCCUCACAAAAUGGCAUUCUGAAUGAUGGCACUAGGAAGGAAGAGGAAUUUUGAGCCAAGACAGAUUUGUAACUUACUGACCAGGGAUAUACUGGGGAAGGUGUACAUGUGGCAUCUUGCUGUUUGGAAUCACAACAGCUUGAUGAUGUCUUGUUAGGGUUAGGACAGUGGCCACAACAAAGAUCAGUUUGUUUCAUGCAGGGGUUGAUGGCCAAAGGGGAUCUGAUUUGAAAGGGCAGAGCAGUUCUGGAUGUUGUGAGGACUACAUUAUAAACCAAAGAGGUGUGUUUGUGAGGAGGUGAGAUACACCACAGUCUGGUCCUGGAAAUAAGGACAGUAGCUGGGAGACAGUGAGGACCCCAGGCAGCUUACCAAGGCUCAGAGCUGGGUUCUAUUCUCACAGACUGAGAAAGCAGAUAAGAAUGGGCACCAAGGACCAAUAUGAACUUGGUCAGCUUCUAGAUAGAAAUAAUGGCUCCUUGGUGUCACUUGGGCAUCUGGGACUGUCUUUUCAUCGUGGGGCGUUUAGGUGAGCAGACAAGCAUCAUCCCCAGAUGAGAACUGGUGGGAAUUAAGUUUGGGUUUUGGAAAGUUAAAGGUCUAGACAACUGGGAUGGAGCUCAUAUUUGGUGUAGAGUCCUAGUUGGAAAUGACCUGAGAAAUGAGAACCAGAGAUUCAGAAUGGAGGACAGUGAUGGCAAGCUGACCAUAUGAGAGAUGCUAUCAAUGCUUUCCAAGUUCCAGGUAAUGGAUGGCGUUGGUAGUAUAAUGGUGAGCAUAGCUGCCUUCCAAGUUCCAGGUAACGUUUGCACUGAUAUCUCAUUGCCCGGAAUUUAAGCACAUUGGCUACAACCACCUGCAGGAAAGACUGGGAGAUAUAGUUUUUUAUUCCAAGUGGCAGUUUGCCCAAAUAAAAAUUUGAGAAUUUGGGAUUCUCUUAAGAAAAGUUAUACAGGGAGGCAGUUUUGUUUUUGUUUUUUAUCACAAUCUCCAUGUUCUCUGUAAAACACAAAACAAAAACCAAAUCCUGACUGCCACUUCUGCCAUUUACUAGUAGUAUGUCCACAUGCAAAUUAAUUAACUCAUAUGACCCUCAGUCCCAUCAUCUGUAAAAUGAACAUCUGGCCCACAGUUUUGUGAAGAGUAAAUAAAUUUAAUACAUGUUGAUCAUACUAAAUACAUGUUGUUGUUUUUUUGUAUGAAGCUGGUUAUGCUUUUUCUUGACCAUUUUCGUUUGCUAUUUUCCUGGUAUUAUUUUUAAUUCUUGGAUCAAGAUUACCCUGGGGCAUCAUUCUAGCUAGAUGUUACCUAGGCAAACAAGAAAGGAAAUCUAUUUGAUUCUACUCAUCUAAAGUUCUGCGUCCCCCAGGAAGGGAGUUGAUAGUAUAAAAAACAUUAUGUGAAUUCUCAGUAUUUAAUAAUUAUAAGUUGCUCAGCAACUCUUGAAGAAAUUUACUAAUUUGGGUCUAAAUUGGUUUACUCCUGAAUGGUGCCUGAAGAGAAUUAAGUAUGUCAUCCAGAAAACAAAAUUAAGGUUAUAAUUUAUUAGUAUUUUUUAUGUGUCUGCCCUAAAUUCAAUUCACAGUAUGUGGAACCUAACCACUGCAGUACUUGCUAUCUUACAGUAAAACAUUUCUGGAAACAUUUUUCUUUUUCAUGUGACUGUCACCUGUUAGUCCUCAUUGUAAUCAUGUACUCAUGCCUUUGGCUCCAGCUCUUGUUUGCUAGUUCACUGUUAAACUUAGAUUAGCUAUGAACUCAUGGCGAAGCUCAGUGGUUGAAUGGGGCUUGAUUGUUCUCCUUUGGACCUCUCUUUGCAUUUUCUUUCUUAUCUUGGUAACCAUAGAAACUCGUUGGAAGGUGAAGUUGGACCAGAUCCACAGUUGGCAGUGACAGUUGCAUGAGUUGCAUGCUUUGUGGAUGAUUUAAUACAAAAGGUAAAGGGUUGAAGCCUGAACAGCAACUAUUCUGGCUUUGAAGGAAGAUGGUAGAAAGAGCAUUUAUUGCCUUUGUGCUUCGGAAUCCUCUGAGCCCCUUCUCUUUCUCUACUUCAGGUCCCUUAUGCCCACCCUGUUGGUCAUUCUGUUCCAUUUAGGUUCAACCGUCUUUGUCUACUUCUACUGAUCUGGCUGUCUGUGUCCUCUCUCAAGGUGUGCAUCAAAUGUAAAAUUUUGAAGUGAGAGCACCCGAUUCUCAACAUCCUGCUGUGUAUUAUGAAAUAAAACCUACUCCUCAGAAUUAUUUUGAGGAUAAAAUGAAAAAAAGAAGAAAUGUAUUUGUGUAUAUGCUUCUGGACAUACAGUAUUCUGGACAUACAGUAUUCAUAUAGGUAUUCUAUAAAUGUUGAUCUAUUUCCUUCUGUAUUCAUCUUUGUCCCCUUACCAAUUCCAUGUUCUUUUUACCUCUAAAACUUUACUACUCAAAGUGUGCGCCUGGACUAGCAACAUGGGGAAAGCCCCGCCCAGAGACAGGAAAUCAGAACCUACUCUUAACAACCUCUCAGAUGAGCUGGAGAAGCACUCUCUAGAACAAAGACCUCCUAACUUUUCAUACCCCCGUCCUGAAAGAAAAGGAUCAAGGGCACCACUCAUUGCAUGCCCACUCUUGCCAGGUGCGAUCUCCUGGCUGCAUUUCCUUUCUCUUCACUCUGUGAGUUUGGCAAUGUUAUUGCCCCUUUACCUAUGAGGAAAUGGGGACUAGGGAAAGUUAACUCAUUGGCCCAAGAUUAAGCAGGAAUGCUGCAGGGGAGACUCACACCCUGAAUACUUUCUACUACUACAAAAUCACUUCGGCCUACAGGUUUUUAUGGCUUUAGGAGAAGACAGGAGGGGGCAAAGAAAAUUAAAGCCAACAACCCCCCAAAGAUAGAGACAUAUAAACAGGUAACUUUGGGUUUUGUUGAAUUCAAUAGAGAAUAUCCUUGGAUUGGGGAUGUAGCUCAGCGGUACAGCACUUGCCUAGCAUGCAUGAGGCCCUGGGUUUGACCUCCAGCACCAGGAAUGAACACUGCGUCCUUGAUGACUGAUUCCAGUGGUUCUCAAUUCUUUUCCAAGUGGCUUGCCCUUUAUUUGAUAUUGAUAUAUAUUUUGACACCUAAGAGAGGAUAAUAAAAUAUUUCACAUAUACAAAGUGGUUGUUUAAUUUUCAGUUUGUUUAGUGAAAUGAUGUAUCAGCUGAGUAUAGCAUCUAACUUGGCAUGUGAGUGUUUUGCUUUGUUCUGAAUUUUUUUCAGAUCCAUUUUUUUCUCUCAAUUAGAUUGUAAGAUUAAGAGAAAACUGAGUCUGUCUUUCCCCUUCUCCCCUCCUGUCUCUUUCCCCUCCCUCUUCCUUUUCUUUCUUUCUAUCCUCCUUCUUUCUUUUUACCCUCCUUCCUUUCUUCCACACAAUUUUGUAAUGGCAAGGAAACACACACACACAUUUCUGGAGUGGGAAAUAAAAUUCAAUUUCCGGUUAUCUAUCUAACAAUUUUGGUUCAUUUGCUAUCAAAGGUUUACAUUUUAUUGAUGCUUCUUAUUUGGGCAAGGAAUCUAUGCUGAUCAAUUUCAUUUUAGAUCAAGAGACAGUAUCAUAUUUUUUCUUUUAUAUUCAUUUUAAUGUCUUAAAUUUCUUAUGCUAAGAAUAAACUCCUGGUCAGGCAUGGUGGGGCACACCUGUAAUCCCAGUGUCUGGGGAGGCUGAAGAAGGAAAAUCACCAAGUUCAAAAACCAGCCUCAGCAACUUAGUGAGGCCCUAAGCAAUUUAACAGGACCCUGUCUCAAAAUAAAGCAUAAAAAGGGCUGGAGAUGUGGCUCAUUGGUUAAGUGCCCCUAGGUUCAAUCCCUGGUAUGAAAAUAAAUAAAUAACUCCCUAACUAUGACUUUUGAAAUGAGGAAUACAUGAAAACAGGUUUGCAUUCCCUAUUAAAAUAAAGAAUUGGAAGUGAUGAAACCUUUAAAAAUUAACUGAGGGCUUGGAGGCAUAUCUCAUUGGUAGAAUAUGUGCUUAGCAUGCUCAAGGCCUUGGGUUUGGUCCCCAGCACCAAAGUAAAUAAAUUUUAAAAAGUUAACUGAAAUAUUUGUUUCCAAUGUGAAUUUUAAUAAUUCUACCUGUCAUUCCAUAGGGAUCAAGAUAAAUAAAAUCUGGUAAAUGUUUUUACCUUUCUAAAGUAAAAUAUUUUACCUUUAUAACAUUCUGAAAAAUAUCUCUUCAAGUAUCCAAGAUAUAUACAAUACUGUAAAUUCAGAUCCUUAUUUGAUCAAUCAGAGUUCAAAUUGGUGAACUGGAGCAGUUGACCAAUUUUCCCACCCUUAUAAGAUUAAUACACCAGACAACAUUUCCUAAUGAAUCAGAAAAGGGAUAAUAACAAAUUACUAAAUGGAACAAGUACUUAAAAAAACAAAAAUAAAAAAAAAAAAAACCUCUCUACUGGGGCUGGGGGUGUGGCUCAAGCGGUAGCACGCUCGCCUGGCAUGCGUGCGGCCCGGGUUCGAUCCUCAGCACCACAUACCAACAAAGAUGUUGUGUCCAAUGAUAACUAAAAAAUAAAUAUUAAAAAAAAAAAGAUUCUCUGAGAGAAAAGCAGGAGUCUACUUUAAAAAAAAAAAACCCUCUCUACUUAUUGAAGCUUAUUAAGACAUCAUUCUGUAAGAGAAAUCAGUUAUCUGAUUUUACCCACUGUGGACACCAAGACUGUGACUGUAAAAGCCAGGCAGUAUCCCUCCAUUCCAGAUAGCUAUCUGCUGUGGGGAUGAAUUUCAGUUCACAAACCUAGCUGUGCAGGAAGUAUCACAUGCCUUUAUUUUAUCCCAGCAACUGAAAUCAGACUAGGAGACCUCUCCCCCACCCCCACCCCAUCCUGAAGCAAAGCUGGGCCUUCACUCACUGUUGUGAUUGGCUUUCAUCUCAACAGACCCUGCUGAGAUUCUGGGGAAACACUGACCAUUCUAGUUCAUGAUAGUGAUCCACCCUGGUUUCUACUGACAUGCCUGUGUCUUAUCAGAUGGUCUGAGGGCUUAGCAGCUUCUGGACAAUGCUAGUGAUAGGAGACUCAUGCGGGGUCCUGGGAGCCCCUGUGUCUGAGGUCUGUCUUCCUAAGAACACUACAGGUCUUCCUUGGGAGGCCUUAGGUCCUCUGGGCACUGCCACCAUGCAAUGCACGUCCCUCUGCUAAGAGCCCAUUGACUUCCAUCCCUCAUCCAGUCCCCAAGAGUUCUGUUUUCUCUCUUUUCUGCUUAAAAACUACUUUCCUCUGUCUUGUUCUGUACCAAGACACCAAGGGCUAUGUUUACUGUAGACUUAGUUUAUACAGAAAACUAGAAGGGUCCUCUGACUUCCUAUGUACACUAUCAGCUCUAAAAAUUCCUGAGGGCAGAAAUUAUAAAGCAUUUUCUUUCUUGCUGGAGACUGGAUAAAAAUGAGAGAAUUGACUAAACUAGAAUUUUAAAAAUUCAGAUAUGGAUCUAUACCAGUCCCUUAAAGAAGAUUCUGUUUGUUUGUUUGUUUUUAAGUGUGGAAUUUUAUAAAGAUAAUAGAGAUACCUAUGAUUGAUUCAGUUUACUCUAGAAUAGAAUCUCUGUGUACUUUGCUGUACUCUACACUAAAUAUAUACAAUUUCAAUGUAAAUGUUCAGUGCCUGCUGCAGCUGGGAGGACCUGGGAGCCUGGGUUCAGGUCUGAUCUGCAUUCCUUUCUUUUCUAGCUUCUGCCAAUCCUCUUCCAUGUGUGUUCCCUGCUGACCUUGUCUCAUAUUGAGACAUCAGUUUGUUCUAAUAGGGCCCAUUUACAUUAGAUUCUUAGCCUUUGCUAAUGUUGGCUCUCAAAGUUUUCUUUAAAUUCUGUGAAAAGACUUUAUCUCUGCAUUAACCCAGGAGGAUUUUUCUAUUCAAUAGGCUGAAGGAUGCCUGACACCUGCUAUUCCUGGUAACCUGGGGGAUUCAACAAUGUACACUUCCCUUUGCCUCUAAUCUGGGCACUCUUUGUCCCCUACUUUUAUUGUGCAUUUCCUCUCUUAUUGCAGCUCAUGGGAGGCAUAAUAAACUUCAUGUGUUUAUGAAGUUUAUAUUUCACAAAUCUCCAAAACAUUUAUUUAUAAUAGCAUUCAAUAGUCCUCCUUCUGUAUAUCCCAGAGACAUUGUUGUACAUCAUUCUUGCUAUGAUAAAGAUUCUAGCAGGGGCUGGUGUUGUGGCUCAGUGGCAGAGCACUUGCCUAGCUUGUGUGAGGUACUGGGUUAGAUUCUCAGCACCACAUAUAAAUAAAUAAAAUAAAGGUCCAUCAACAACUAAAAUUUUUUUAAAAAAGAUUAUAGCUGCAUUCACAGAAAAUUGCUUCAUUUUCAGGAAAUUUUAUUGUGAAAAUCUUAAGUGUCUUCCUUUUGCUAAUUUAAAUUCUUUAUCAAUUCUUUAUCUUAAGUCUAGUUUAUUAAGUCAAACACUUUUUUUUUUUGUUUUUGUUUGUGUUUUGGGUGAUUUUGGUUUUGGGGGAUGGAACCAAGGGCAAGCAAGCACUGAAUUGCUGAUCUUUAUACCUCUAGCCCCAGAGUUUUAUAAAUUAUAUCCUAUUUUAAAUUAUUAAAGUUUUGGGCUGGGGAUGUGGCUCAAGCGGUAGCGUGCUUGACUGGCAUGCGUGCGGCCCAGGUUCGAUCCUCAGCACCACAUACCAACAAAGAUGUUGUGUCCGCCAAAAACUAAAAGAUAAAUAUUUAAAAAUUCUCUCUCUCAAAUUAUUAAAGUUUUAUAAAUUAUAUCCUUCUUUAAAAUAGGAUAUAAUUUAUAUCUGGAUAUGCUGAUAAAAUUUCUGGUAAACUCUUUGGGUAGUGAAGAGUUGCUUGAUAAGGUAUCACUUUGCAGCGUGAUGAAUGAAUUAAUAAUAUAGGCUUAGAAACCAGACUGCAUGGUUUUUUAAUUCUACCUUCACAACUACUGUGUGAUGUUGAACAUACUACUUCAACUCACAGAGCCUCCAUAAAAUGAAGAUGAUAAUAAUAUCUACUUUACAAGGCUGUUAUAAGGAUAGAGUUAGAAAAUACACAUAAAGAAAUUGGGGAAAUGCCUGACAUGUUUAGUACUCAAUAAGUUAAUGGUAGCUAUUAUUAAUAUUUCUUUAUAGAAUGAGGCACCACUGGAAAUGAUCAUGGUAUGCAAUUCAUCCCACUAAUUAUGAGUAAUUAUUCCGUGUUCAUUUGCUAAAAAUCAUUGUAUAUGAUAUAUAUGACAUGUUUGCUUCUUAUAAUAACAGUGAAGCUUUAGAAAAUCCACCAUGUGUUAUCAAACGUGAUUGUCUUCCAGAGCUGUUGAGUAUGAUCUCAGUCAUCAGAGUGGAAAAUCUUACUGUAGAAUUAUAUGAAAUACCCUUAUGAGACUCUCUGUUACACACCCACCCACCAAACAACACCUACACAUUCACACAUGCAUAGCAAAAAGUAUGCAUGCCUCAGCGUUUGCAUACUAAAGAGCAAACAAGAAAACCUCUCUAAAAAUGUAAUUUAAUUUUUCAUAAGAAUUUUUAUUGUCAUUUAGUACGUAGGCAUUCAAAUUUUACCAUUGCUUUUUUUUGUGAUACUGUAUUUUAACAUAGCAUCAAUCAAUCCUUUUGAAAUGAGAUGUAUUUUCUUCUUUCUUAAAUAUCAAUCCUAAUAACAAUGGAACCUAUCAUUCAUUGACCAAUGUCUUCAUGCCUGUUCUUUCCUUGUCUUAACUUGCAACACUUCUGUGAGAUGGAUAACCAUUAUUUUCAUUUGAGUAAUUUGCCUAAGGUUAAUAGCCUGUGAGUGGUGGAGCCAAGAUUUGAUCCAGAUAAUCUGAAUAUGGCACUAACUUGUUUUAUUAUUGUACCAUAUCCUGCACUAAGAUCUCUGUUAGUGAGAUCUAACAUCAAAAUGCCUUGCUGGGAUUUGCAUUUGCCCCGGGGCUGAGUGUAACAAGUAAAUAUCAGAAAUGUGACUAUAUUCCAAUGAACUUUUAUAACAUUUUUGUAAAGUAUUUUAUGUAGAAACAUACCCUAUGCAGUGAACAUAGAUUUUGUUCUCUAAGCUCUUUUUUCUUUUUUAAUUUAAAACCAAUUCUAAAUUGGUAUAGUGAAAAAUAACUUUGUAAAGGAAUGUGUUGAGUGAGGCUGUGAAAAUCUAAUGUUGUCUAGUAUUUUAUUUUUGAAAUGUUUAUAGAUGUUGAAUUUCCCAAUUACGGGGGGACAAUUCUUCACUUUGCAAAAAAGAUCCAGCAUUUUCUAAGAAUUUAAUUAUCACAUUAACUUAACACGAACUCCCUACAGCUUUGCAAAUAUUACCCACUGUCUUCUGGCCACAGAAUGAAAAACAAGUUGUCAUUGAGUUACUGGCCUCAGGAAUGUUGGGCUGAUAGGGGAAAGUGUCCUCCCUUAUUAAUUCUAAGAAGCUUUUAAAAAUGAAUGGUGUAUAAAUGACCUAUUGGAUUGUACAGGAAUUCCUUAUCCUUUGCUUCAUUGAUCAGAACUCCAGCUGAUAGACAACUGUUUGUUCUGUGAAGCUGGGAAGCCCAUGAAAAUUCCCUAUGUUGUUCUUUUUCAUAUCUCAGGCUCAGGCCAUGUGGGUAGAUUUGCGAUGGGAUUUGGUAUUAGGGUAAUAAUUAAGAUCUUUCCCUAUCUGCAAGCUUAUUUGAUAUUGAAUUCCCUUCAUGAUCAUUCUUGUUGAAGGUGUGCCCUGUGCCUUUUAGAAUGGCCCCAUAGGUACCUGAGAGCUUAUCAUCAUUUUUCAGGGAAGCCCCUAACUUCCUUCUGUUGUUUCCUUUCUUGUCUUCCUUCUUUCUCCAUUCGUUCCUUUCUUUUUACGGGCUCCUUAUAAUGUCUGUUUUUUUUUUUUUAAAUACUUCCUUUAGGGCCAUACAAAAGAAAUCCAUUGUUUUGUACAAUUAAUUGGAGACAAUUAUUAUUAUCUAUAUCUACAUCCAUCAAUCUAAGAAUCACUCUAUAUUAAAGGUUAUAAGUUCCUUUAGGCUUUUUUUUUUGUGUGUGUGUGUGUGUGUGUGUAUGCUGGAGAUCAAAUCCAGGACCACACAUAUCAUAGACAAGCACUCUACUACUGAGCUCCACCUCAUCCUAAACAUUUUUUUUUUUGUAAAACAAUAUAGCUAACAUUUAUUGAGUGCCUACUAUGUAUCGGACACUGUGUGCACCAUUUCUAAUCCUUAUGAUCCUGUCAGGUGACUCAAUAAUACCUAAUACUUAUUCAUCCUGUAUAAUUACCUCAUGUAGGAUAUGGUAAACACAAAUGUAGAACCUAUAAUAACAGUUGACACAUAGUAACUUUCAAUUGAUAUUAAAUGUUAUACUUCUGUAAGAAUUUGGAGGUCUUCCACUCAACUUCAGUGUUCUUCCUUUAUUCUUUUCUCCUUAUAUUUUUAACUUGAUAUGAUUAACCUGAGGAAACCUUUUGACUCUUGGCGAACUAGUUCUCCCAGUUUUGUCUUAACCACAUAUUUUAGUCCUUAAAGCCAUUCAGAAGAAUACUCAAAGGUCAAAGAUGAAGGUCUGCAUUUUUCAAAAGCUUCAGAUUAUUCUGAGCCCAGUCUUCUUUGCACAGUUCUCUGAGGUCUGUUUCUUCCAUGAAAGAAGCACUAUUCUGAGUAAGAAGUAUGACCCCUGAGCAGUUGAGUUUCAGCUCUAAUGGAAGACCACUAUAAAUACAACUCUACUUUGAGGUUCACCUAUUAAAAUUCAUCUUGAAACACUGUAACUUUUCUGAACUCAAUUAAGGGGAAGGGGAAAGAGUCAAUGCCUUUGGUUGAUCAGGUACAGGUCUGCUGGUAGCAGCUGCCACUCUAGCCUGAGCACUGGUGUAGAAAGGUGUUUAUUGUUUAGGGAACAUGAUUUAGUAAAAAGGCAUAUGAAUUUUACAGUUGGUCAUCUAGGAUACUGUGUUUUAGCUCAGCAUCAUUAUUUUGCCCCUAUAAGCAUUAGCUUGGACUUUUGAUCCAGUUUCAUUUCUUUGAACAGUGCAAGGACUCAUGGAACUGGUCUAAGUGGUUAGACAGACCUCGGCAACCAGACACUUGUGGCUGCUGAUUUAGAAUGUUCCUUUUUAGGGAGAUAUUCUGGAAUGAAGAUGACACAGUUAGAUUUACGGAAUGUGUGAAGAAGCCUGCCAGAAAGAGAUCUGGACUUUGAUUCUUGGGAGCUAUACAAUCCCAAGUGGUGUUGAAAGCUGGUUUUGGCCUGCAUACGAUUGUGUCAGUUCUUAAGCUCUUUCUUUUCUAAUUUUUCCUUAUAACUUUCAUUUCACAUAGAGUUUACCUGCCUUUCAAAGCACACAAGGUCAUCCCUUUUAUCAUCUGUGUGUGUCAUCAAAUGUCAGGACCAAGAGCAGAGGCCUGUUUUCCAUGAAACAAAGGAAAUGUAAGCAUUUGAAUUCCUGUCAUGCCUGAGCCCCCUUCCCAGAUCCCAGGAAGGGCCCUAGCAAGGUAUUUAUAUUGUUAAAGGAUAGAAGAUACUUUAUUUAUUUAUUCACAGUACUGAGGUUUGAACCCAGGGCCUUGGGGAUGAGCAAGAUCUCCACCACUGAGCUACACUCCCCAGCCCAAUGGAUACAUUUUUUUUUUUAAUCUUUUUUUUUUUUUAAAGAGAGAGUGAGAGAGAGAAUUUUUUAAUAUUUAUUUUUUAGUUUUUGGCGGACACAACAUCUUUGUUUGUAUGUGGUGCUGAGGAUCGAACCCCGGCCGAACGCAUGCCAGGCGAGCACGCUACCGCUUGAGCCAAAUCCCCAGCCCUGGAUACAUUUUUUAAAACUGAUAGAAGCAUGACCCUUGUACAAAUAAGAUGAACAUUGUCAAGUAUCUUAUUUAACUCAUUAAUUAAUGAAGGAACAUAUAAAAAGUUUUAUAUGUAUAUUAAACAAUAUAUCUAACUUCUUAUAUGUUUAUGUGUUAAUUAGGAUUGCUGAGAUACAUUUACACAUAGACCCAAGAGAAGUCAAUAUUCACAGAGCCAUAAUCAAUUGUAUCCUACAAGAUAACAUGCAUAUCUUUAGACAGCAAUCAUUUAUAUCACUAUAUGUUUUCUAUAACUUCCUAAGUUGUAAAAUGGCUAAAGAACAGAGGCUCCUACAGAGACAGACAACCAAUAUGCUAGAUAAGACACUCAGUGACUUUUUUUGGGGGGUGGGGGGGGGGCGGGAGGAGUCCCUCUCAAACUCGUUCACAUUUUUUUUUCUUAGCAAUGUGGUCAUAUGUUUUUGCAAAAGAUUAAUUUUGCCCUAACUUUCCCCUCUGACUUGCCCUUUAUAACUUCUUCCCUCAUGGCCUUGGAGUGGCCAUGAAUGCUUUACAGAUCCAGUUGUGGGACAAUUGAGCUGGAAGUACAUUUAGUGGAGAUUGAAUUUACAUGGUUCACCUUCAGUAAAAUGAUUGCUGUCCGUUCCAAUAGGAAAUGGAAUGGCUUCUGAGAAUAUUUCUCCCAAUUUUUGUGCUGCCUCACAUGUCAUUCUUCACCCAAAGGAGAACAGAAUCAGAAUUCUUAAGAUGUGUUUAUGUUCCACAACACCACUGGAGGCAAUUAAAAAUGUUAGGAGCCAGAAAUUCGUCUGUUGAAAAUUUUUCAAAUGUUAUAGAUCAUUCUUUAAAAAGCUUGAUUGAGGAGCUUUCCCCAAAUUUGAUAACAUCCUAAAUAUUUAUAUGACCUUAUCAAUAUGAGUUGUGAAGCUUAAAUAAGUUUUGAAAUAUACCAAUAAUAAAACGCAAGAAACCAAAAUACUGAAUUAUUUUUCUAUUUCAUUAUAGAAAAUAUUAUAAAAUGCCUUUCAAAUGAACUGAUUAAAGAAUAUACAGACAAAAAUGUAGCAGAUGUCAAGCGGUGGUGCAUGCCUGUAAUCCCAGAGGCUUGGGAAGCUGAGGCAGGAGGAUCUUGAGUUCAAAGCCAGCCUCAGCAAAAGCAAGGCACUAAGCAAUUCAAGGAGACCCUGUCUCUAAAUAAAAUACAAAAUAGGGCUGGGGAUGUGGCUCAGUGGUAGAGCAUCCCUGGGUUGACUCCUCAGUACUGUAAAGGAAAAAAAAAUGUACCAGAUAAAUAUUGUGUUAUGGAGGACUACCAGGUAGUUAAUUAUUAAAAAAAAAAAUUGUUGCAUUUUGGAUCUUGUGAUAUUUGUGACUUCUCAGCUUUCAGAAUUUAUAGUUGUCAUUUAUUUUCCUAUUCUAAAUAAAUAUUCAUGUUAACACUUUUUCUGUCUUUUUCAAGCUUUCAGUUGUCCACAUCUGACAGCAGACACAGUCUCCUGCUUCUGUCUGACCAAGCUUACAGUCAAUAAAUGUUGAUUUCAUCAGAUAGUCACAGGAAUGUGUAUUGGACAGCUGUAGCUUUUGCUCACCCAGAACACAUGCUUUCCUCUGGAAAUAACACUUUUAUGUUCUACGGGAACCUGCUUUUUUCCCACUUUAUUUCCCCCCUCUACUUUAACCCAUGUAGUUUGAUAAGGGGUGACAUCAUGCUACUAGUUCCAGGAUUGAGCCCCUGACUCAGGCCUUACAAAUCAGUCAGCCUUAGGAUUUUUGAUGAACAAUGGAAGAAGAGUCCUCUCUUUCUACUAAUGACGCUGCACUUCACCAGCAUUAAGUCUGUAAAUGGUGACUUAGGAAGAACGUCCCUGACAUUGAAGCCAAGUCAGCCAAGGGGUAGAGGGAGAGAGAUUCCUAAUGAAUUGCUUGAGUAUUUAGAUUAAUCACAGUUAAAGGUAGGUUUUUUUGACUUUUUCAUUUAGAAGUGUGCCAAUACAUUUUCUUUUUUAAUUUUUUCCAGUUUGAACUUUUUUUUUUUUGCAAUUGAAAACUUCUAGUUAAUAUAAGAAAAAAAUGUUCCUGAGCAGGGGUAUUUUGUGAAGAUUAAUCUAGUCACCAAUAGUUUACAGAAAGCAAGAUGUGGCAGUGGAAUAGAAAAGAAAGAAAGGGGAAGCACCCAGGAAGAAUUAAAAGGACUUGAUAGCCAGGGUUGGUGGGUCUGUUGUCCCAGCUAUUCAGGAGACUAAAGGAGAAGGAUUUCCUGAGCCCAGGAGGUUAAGACCAACCUGGGCAACGUGGCAAGACCCUGUCUCAAACAAAGAGGGCUUGGUAAUUAGAACAAGAAGAGAAAACAAAAAUGACUGGAAUUUUGAGGCUGACUUAAGAUGUGAAUGGAGGCACCACUGAUAGAAAUCUGUGAGUCAGAAAAGGCACUGUGUUCCCCUUUGCCCCAGGGGCAAAUCACAUUUAUUUUUAGGCUUUGAGUUUGAGGCGAUGAUAAAUAAAUCAAGUGGAACUAUUUAGGAGAUAGUUAAAAUGUACAAUUAAACCCCAGGAGAAAACUUAAGAUCCAAAACAUAAUAAGUGAAUGUCCUGCCAAGAUGGAUCAGUGUGAUCUGAGGGAGAGGUCAGUCUGUAACAGGAUGAGCAAUGGGCCCAUACACAAGACCGUCCCAAGGAGCAGGGCUAGGAAUGAAUCAGGCUGAUUCUCAGCCAGAUAUCUAGUCUCCACACACUGCAGUCCAGGAAGCAAAGUCUGUGCAUUGGAGACAUGCCACCCGGGUAGGCACAGCUGCUCUAAAGUACCCGGCAAGCCUGGAGUUGAGUAUUUGAAGAUUUUGUGGGAAGUGGUUAUAGAGAAGAAAGGGGUGAGGAGGGAAGAUAAAAGAGAUGGGAGGAUGCUAGAAAAUUCUUGAAAUUCAAACAGAGAACAUUUCAAAUAGGGGAUCAUGGAGAGCAGAGAAGGCAGAGAGACUAGGUGAGCAUCACUGGAGAAUGUAGAUGCACCCGAAUGCAGGAGGUGGAACUAGAUUCCACCCAAAGUGAAAAGACGUCAUGAAAGUAGAAUCAGUAGGUGGAGACCAGAAGUUUGGCAAAGAAAGAGGAGAGGGGCAGGGUGGUAUAAAAACAGAGCGACUUAGCCUGGGUUGUUUGUUUUAUUCUGGGGCUGAGAAGCUUGCUUCAGAGGGUAAGCAAAAGGGAAAGGCCAGUGGAUCAGAACAGAGUAAAGCUACUGGGUGGGGGUGGGGGGAAUUUAACAGAAUAAGGAAGGAGGCAAGAUCAACAGUGGGGGAGAAAGCAGGUGGCAAAGGUAGCAUGCAUUAAGUGUCUGAAACUGGUGGAGAGAAUGAAAGAAGGAGUGUAAAGAGAGAUGCUUGGAGGCAGAAUAGACAGAAGAGGAAGCACCUCUCCUGUUGUGAGCAUAGGUAAGACAGUAACUCGAGGUGUCUGCUAUAUUCAACAGACUCCGAUGAAUCAAAUUACAGUGUGGAUGUCCAAAUUGCUUUUCUCCCCAUGAGACUUCACAGAAGAUUAUGUUACUGAAAACUGAUGUUUGAGCUAGGAAAAAAAAAUUAAAAGGAUACAAGUCAGCUACAUGCUUUAGCUUUGUAACUUUCCAUGAAAAUAGGGCAAUUGUUCCUGUUGUCAUGACAAGUAGAUAGUGCCAACCUAUCAUGACAUAGUACGUACAAUACAACUUGUCAUCUCUUAUGCUGACUUAAUUGACAUGAUAUAAAUUUCAUAACUGUGUGCUGUGAAAUUUAUACUCCAUUCUCUGGGAGGAGCCCAGAAAAGCCAAUUAUCAAGUUUGGCAGCUUUGUGAGUAAUAACUUCUUCCAGACAAGAAGAAAGACUUGUUAUGAAUCAGAGGCAGAGCCAGGAGGAAGUCCACCCUUCCUUCUCACUCUCAGAUCAAACUACUAGAAGGAAGAAACCUGUUGGGAAGCAAGUCCUUGAGGCUUGUCUGAUAAAGGUUGUUGCCGUCAGUCACCCUGCUCUCCCCACCUUCUCUCCCCUUUCUCAAAUUAUUCUUCAAGUCUAAUCCUGUUCCUUCCUGGCACCCUCUGUGCUCUUGGACACACUCCAUUUUGAAUCUAUAGAAGAAAAUAAAAAAGCAGUGGCAGGACUGGGCGGGCAGGUGAGUGAAGCAGGGCGUGACUCCCUUAUUAAGACCUUCAUACUUAAAGACAGUUACUUCAAAGAAGCCUGAGCAAGGGAACCCCAAGAAGUCCAAGCCUAUGCAUGUAAGGGCAAAAGAGUGUGGGAAAACAUAAUUAUUUCUUGCUGGAACCAUCUCAAGCAUCAUGGAUUAGUGAUGACAGAGUUGAAUUUGAUCCUGUGACUAUGACAGAUGAGAUGGUCCAGAGUGAAGAGGUCCUAAUAAAUGGACCAAGAUCCAACUUGUGGAUCUCUGCUGCAAUCCAUCAAUAUGUCCUCUUGGUUUAUCUCUACCCAGGUCUACCUAGGUCUAGGUCAUCGUUGUCUCUCUCCUGGACUCCAGCAAUACCCUUCUUCCUAGACUUCCUCAGUACCCCCUUCCUUUCCCCUCCACCCCAAUCCAUUCUCCACAUACCAGCCAUCAAAAUCUCCUUUAAUAAUUAUUCAGAUCAGGUUGCUCCUCAGCUCCAAACCCUUCAACACCCUCCUUGACACUUAAAAUAAAAACAAUUUCCUUUCAUACCUCUCUCCUCUUUUCUUCCUCUUGUCCCCUGUUCACUGUGCUCCAGCUGCACUGUUAUUGGUCUCCUGGAAUACCCUCAGCUCCUCCUGCUGCCCUUAAUGCUCUUUGGAGCAAAGACUAAAGCAUGAGACCCAAACCACCUUGCUGAUUCUUUCCUUGGUCCUUCCACCAUUCUUAUCUAAAAUAGCCCCCUUCCUCAUAGUUUCUCUGUUUGGUGCAGGUUCAAUAUCUCCUCUAAAAUUAUUCUGUUUAUUUGUUCACAUUUUUAUUGUUUGUUAGCCUCUGCUUAGAGGCCCUGUAUAUGAGGGUAGGGGCUUGUCUGUUUUGUUCACCAUUUAUUAUCAUCAUCCAAACAAUGCCUUUCACAUAUCAGACAUUUGAUAAAAAUUUUUUUCAGUAGAUGCAUAAAUGAAUGAAUGAAGUUGAUUUUUUUUUCUAACAGUCCUGUGAGAUAGGCAGAGAAAAUGUUCUUAACAUUUUCUAAAGUUAUAUUUUACAGAGGAUCUAAACUUGUGAAAGUCAUGAAAGAGGCAGAACCCAGGUCUUCUAUUUUCCCUAGGUAUUUCUUUCUGUUUAAUAGUCUAUAAGCAAUUAGUCUUAACCAUCUUAGAAGAAGGAAGAAGGAGGAAACAGAGCACUUAGAAAGAAGGUUAAAUGUCACACUACAUACACAUUUGCAUUCACAAAAGCAUGGCCAAAGACAAACAAAGGAGGGUUCCUGGUCACUCUGUUUGAUCCCGCCUAUCUCUCCAUUGAAUCCCUGCAGAGCACAGGCUGAGGAAGCACGAUUGCAUGGUGGUUCAAAGUAUGCACUUUGGAAGGAGACGAACCUGGGUUCCACUCCAAAUUCUAUAACUUACUCUGUGUGUAUCUUUAAAUAAAUUAAUUAUCUUUUUAUGAGACUCAAUCUCCUGUCUUUUUAAACAGGAAUAGCACCACCAAGACUUUAAAGUUCUUUGAGGGAUUAAAUGACAGAUGUAUCUAAUGUUUGGUGUCAUAAGGUAAAGGAGUUUAGGGGCUGGGGAUGUGGCUCAAGCGGUAGCGCGCUCGCCUGGCAUGCGUGCGGCCCGGGUUCGAUCCUCAGCACCACAUACAAACAAAGAUGUUGUGUCUGCCGAAAACUAAAAUAAAUAAAUUAAUUAAUUAAAAAAAAAUAAGGUAAAGGAGUUUAACUUUCCAACUCUGCAUUCCUCCACUAAUAAUUUUGGUAGAGUUUUCCUAGCAUAUAGUACUGACAAGCCUUCAAUGAUCAACCAGCCAAACUACUUAUUUCAUAUGACCUUUGGGCAGCAUUUUCAACCCAAACCAUAAUAGUCUUGUUUGCUACUCUUUAUGCUCAUUGUUUACCUCACAAGGCACAGAAAUCUCCAUUUUCCUCCUGAUCCUUUUCUUGGUCAGAACAGAAGCCAACAGAAGCCAGAGGAUCUCCUUGAGGCAGAUAGGAUUACGUAGAUAAGGGCAGGACCUAUGUGGUCCUGGUGUCCUCCUCAAAGCCUACUUGCUAUGAGAUUUGAGUCAGUUACUUUCUCUCACUGAGUCUUAGUUCCACCAUAUGUAAAAUAAGGAUAAUGAUAGGGUUAUCAUAAGGAUUAAGUAAAAUAAUUCACAUAAAAUUGCCUGCAACAUGGCAAACACUCAGUAUAGAUUUGUUUCUAAACUUGUAUUAGAAGUUAUUUUAUUAGAGCAAAUUAAAUUUCAUAUAUGUAUGAUUACGUCAAAAUGAACCCAACUAUUAUGUGUAACUAUAAAACAAUAAUAAAAGCAUAAAAUAAAAAUAAAAAUAAGAUAGUGUGAUUAAAGUAAUGAAUUGUGAUGUAAGAUUUCUAUUAUUUAUUAAAAUUACAGAUCACAGAAUUGUUUCUAGACUUUGUUACUAGCAAAAACAAUAAAAAGAGUUUUUAUUUUUUUGGGGGGGAACCCAGGAUUGAAUACAGGGGCACUCAGCCACUGAGCCACAUCUCCAGUCCUAUUUUGUAUUUUGUUUAGGGACAGGGUCUCACUGAGUUGCUUACUGCCUUGCAUUUGCUGAGGUUGGCUUUGAGCUCUUGAUCCUCCUGUCUCAGCCUCCCGAGUUACUGGGAUUACAGGCAUGUGCCACCAUGCCCUGCCAUGGGUUAUUUUUUUUUUUAAAGUUAUUUUGUAGUAAAAUCCUCAGCAACUUAGUGGGAUUCUGUCUCAAAAUAAAAAAGGACUGGGGAGGUUGCUCAGUGAUAAAGUGCCCUGAGUUAAAUCCCCAGUAACCCCCUCCCCCACAAAAGUUAAAGUUUUUCCCCCCAGCGGAAGACAGUUUUGUUUAUAUAACACUGUAUAAUAUAUAUAAUAAUAUUCCACUAACCUUGAAAAAAUACAAAAAUGCAUAGGGCUAAGGAAAUAUAUUAAUCACCAUUGAAUAUUAGUAGUCAGAAGAGCAGUAAAACAUUAUGAAUUGACUGGUAACUUAAGUCCUCUAUCACAUGUGUGGUACUGUAAAGGAAAACCAUGGGACUGCAUUUUAUUAAGUACUAGUACAAAAAAUGAGUUAUAGGGGCAGGGAGUGUAGUUUAGUGAUAGAACACAUGCUUAGCAUACAUACUGCCCUGGACUCAAACUCAGUACUAGAAAAAAAAAAAAAGCUUAGAAUACAUUUCCACAUAGUCUAUACAGAGUAAAUAUAUCAGAGUAAAUAUAAAAGUGCUCAUAAAAUAAAUUUGAAUUGAUUUCUCUGUAGGGAGUGACAGCAUAUGUAGCCAAACAGAUAUUUCAGUAAAAACUAGUGCAAGUUAUAGGAGUAAAUUAUUGCAUUCGAAGGAAUGUCAAUGUCAUAGCCAUGCAGACAAUUGGAUGGAAUAGUUCACAGAAUGUUAGUAUAUAGAAAGCUACAGGGAAAUAAAUUGAAUCCAGUGGAAACCAGCCAUGCAAUUAAUACCACAUAAAAGGGCCUCACAGUGCUUGACUCUUUGUCCUUAGAACCCAGAAAACCUUUUCCUUUAAUCCCUACCAAUAGUAAGCCCAAGCCCCUUUUUGUUGCUAAAUUCUGAUAGGUCUCUUCAUCACUGAGCAUCAUCAUACAACAAAUAGGGCCAAUACAUAAAUACAACAAACCCAAGACCUAUUUACCACACUCUUUUGCUUUACUUGACUAUGAACUCACUGCUUUCAAUCUUAAUGCUUCUUUAAGUAUUUGUAAUUUUUUUGGUUGUUGCAAGAUCUAAACACUUUUGGCAACUCUAGUGUGUUCUUUUUCUCAAAGUCUUAAAACACGAAACUGCCUCCAAUAUCAGAGGAUGGAAUCGAGGGUCUUGCUCAUACUAGGCAAGUACUCGACCACUGAGCUACACUCCCAGUAUUUAUUUAUUAUUUAUUGCUUUCAAACCAUGAAUUAUGCCACAAAACAAAACAAAAGCCCCAUACUACAAAGUAUUUCAGGGCUAGUAUAAACUUUACUGGUUAACUUUGUGAUAUAAUUGUUAUAAGAUAACCCUAAAAGGUGUUUUAUGUUCUGCACCCCACUGUAAGGAGAGUAUGGUAAUACUCUCCUAAUUUGUUGUCAUUCAUUACACUCCUGGCCUCCUGGUGCUGGCAUUUUUAUUUGUAGUAGUUAAUUUGACAUGGAAAAUUUCUGGAUACCUUUUUUAGUGGAAAAAUACAUAGUAUACAUUAUAUGAUAGCUUCAAUCAUUUAUGCACAUAUGCACAAUUUAAACCUCAGAGCAGUUCUUUUCCAAUGGUAGCCUAGUAACCUAAGCAUUACUAUAAUUUAUUUCAGUGCUUUAAAAAAUGUGGCCCUUGAAACACCUGCAUCCGAAUCCCUUAGUGUGCUCGUUAAAAAUCCAGGAUCAUGGUCACUGUUCCCUUUCCCCCCUCCAAAGUCUGCUGAAUUGGAAUGUCAUUUUUAAAAGGGUUCCCUGUUGAUCCCAGGCCCACCAAAGUCUGACAGGGCAUUUCCCUUUGGAGUAUCUUUUUUUCUCCCCUAUAUUUUGAUAAGCAUGUAAAGACAGCUGAAGGGAUGAUCUUCCUUUGUGUCAUUUGCCCAGAUGACACAUCCAAUUUGGGCUCUGCUGGAAUUCUCAGGUUCCUUAACCUCUUGGACUUGGACUUUGACUUGUUAUUUGCUUCAGCACUUCCUCCUUAUGUGAUUUCCUCCUUAAACAGUUCUCUCCAGACAGUCACCCAUUCCCUUAUUCUCUCUCUCUCUCUCUCUCUCUCUCUCUCUCUCUCUCUCUCUUUUUUCUCUCUCUCUCUCACACACACACACCAUUGGCUGCUUUUCCCAGUACACUCCCUUUAUUCUGACUCACCUGUGGUGCAAGAUAUAGAAUUCUCUGUGGGUAAGUGGGGCCACCUGCUUGGGCAGGCUUUUUCCUUGGCUCAGACAAGUCAUGUCUCAGAAGGGGUAGCUUGGAAACAUAUUUCAGAUAGCCUCCUCACUCAGGGAGUAAGAUCUUAGAUAUUCCAAAGGCAGACAACUCAGGGAUACAUGUUUCCUCCAGAAAACAUAAAUUAGAUAUCAGUGGUUUGGAGUAUGGAUAUUCUUUUGUGAUUGAAGAAUUUCCACAGUGUGGAGAUAUACAACCCACUCUUUAUCCCAAAUUCAGAACAAUUUGUGUGUGUGUGUGUGUGUGUGUGUGUGUAUGUGUCAGGGUGGGAUACUGGGGAUUGAACACAGAUGCCUUCUAACCCUGUAACCCAGCUACACCCCCAGCUCUUUUUAUUUUUGGACAAGGUCUUCCUCACUAAGUUGUCCAGGCUAGCUUUGAACUUAAAAUCCUCCUGCAUCAGUCUCCCUAAUAGCUAGGUUUAUAAGCAUGUACCACUGCACCCUGCUCAGAUGAAAGUCUAAAUUUCUGUGGUGUGUUCUCUGAGUUAGUCCCAUUUUUUUAAAAACACAUUACCUAAGGUAAUCAGAAUAUUGAGGGAAGAGCAAGGAAAGUGUGCUCUGAAUUUAGACUGAUGUGCCACUUGGGCAUGAAAGGGUUUGAGAUGAUUUUAUCAGCAAUGUGGAAGGUACAGUAGAGUCACCUAAAUUCUUUGGCUCUAGAAGUAGGAACUUUCAUUGCAGAUAUUAAUAAGUAUUAGUGGGGUUGACUUAGAUGUUGAUAAAUGAAUUUUGUUAUAUAGCUGUGAGUUUGUAUUUGAACUGUAACUACACAGGACAUCAUCCCAUAGGCUAUUCAUAUAGUCAUGAAUGCAAGUUGGCCCAUUCAAAUAUGGAAAGAAGAUAUUGGAACUUCUAACUACUGAUAUAGAAUAUUAUAAAUAUUUACUUUUGUGGGUGUGUGUAGUGCUAGGGAUUCAACCCAGGGCCUCACACAGAGUAGGCAAGUGUUCUACCACUGAGCUAUAUCCCCAGCCCUAAAUGUUUACUUCCCUAAUUUUUUCAAUUAAUAGUGCCUGAAUAGAAUUUAUUAUUAUUAUUUAUUAUUAUUAUUUGUAACAGGGAUUGAACCCAGGGGCACUUAACGACUAAGCCACAUCCCCAACCCUUUUUAAAUUUUUUAUUUUGAAACAGGGUCUCACUAAGUUGCUUAGGGUCUUGCUAAGUUGCUGAGGCUGGCCUUGAACUUGUGAUCCUCCUACUUCAGCCUCACGAGCCCAUGGGAUUACAGGCAUGUGCUACCAUGCCUAGUUAAAUAUGAUUUAUUUUUAAAUAUGUUUUUUGAAGGUGUACUGUUAACAAUUUUUUACUGACUAGGAUGCAUAAACAAAAUAUCAAUAUACUACUGGCCCUUAGAGCAAUUGUUGAGCAGAAUAAAUGAGAUUUCAGUUUGCUAAACAAUCUCUCAAUGGUGUGCUAUUUACUUGUCAUACACCUCCUGGUUUGGUGGUUAGGAGUGUGAAACUGUGAGGAAGGAAUAAUCUGCUGCUGGAAUUAAGGAACUGCAGAGAAAGCCACUGCGACAUGGCGUGGUCAUCUGCUUCCCUGGCUCCCCUUUCAUGAGGUGGGGGUUAGCUGGAACUGGCUUAGGAGUCAAACACACUAAGCUGGACUCUGAACCCUACAUCUUACUAACUUUGUAAUCUAGUGAAAGUAACUUUAACAUGGUGGAGCCUCAAUUCUUCACUUGUAUGAUAUAUUUGUUGUAAGAACAAAUGAAAUAAUGUAAAUAAAGCACCUACCAUAGACCUGGCACAUAAUAGCUACUCAGCAAGUGAUGUCUCCUUUGCUUCCUUGAUUACUCACUUGUAGACUUCCUUAUUUCUAUUGAGAGCAUCACCAAGUCUAUAAGAUACAGCCAAGAAAAAUCCUUGAGAACCACAUGGUUUAGGAACAACAUAGUCACAAGCCUUGCCAAAUUAAAAACAAAAACGAGAUAAUUAAUAAUGAAAGGGAAUCAUGACAGAUGGUAGUCUAAAAAGGAGCUUAUGACCCACACCCAGAGCUUGAUCCUCCACACCAGAGGAGGGAAAGGGGUGCAGCCCCAAUCUCUGGUGCCCGCCUCUGCUGGCCUGCGGGUAGGCGCUGAAGAGGCAAGAAGCCCUCUGAUGCUGGUCUCGGUUGGUUUACCACCUGCUUGCUCACCCUGGCAUUUGUCAAUAGCCCUAGCUGGGCAGGCAGGGCGUGUUUGACACCAACAAUGGUGGGGACACUAUUGGGCCAUCAGUGGCCUCUUUCCAGGCUUGUUGAAUACCACUGCUAUGACUUGGUGACUCGUGACACUUUCUUUCUGGCCCAUUGCAGCCAGGGAUAUUUCCCCAUUCAGCUCGUUAUAAUCCAAGGUGAAGGAGGAUACAGAGGGCCAGUGUGCCUGAGGUGAUUUAAGUUCAUUAUACUUAAUGAGUUUAAAAAAGGUCACUGGAUUGCUCCCCUUUACCCCCAAAGCAUAAUUUAGAAAUAAAACCUGUCAUAGGCUAUAUAAGUCCUAAAGCUAUCCAGGUUCUAAUCUCUAGUACCUGGGAAUGUUAUCUUCCAUAUUUUUGUAGAUGCAAGUAAGUUAGAAGGUCUCAAGAUAGAAAGAUUAUCCUGGAUUAUCCAGAUGAACCCUAAAGGCAAUCACAAGAGCCCUUUUAAGAAAGAGACAGAAGGAGUUUGGACACUGCAGAAGGCAAGGUGAACACUGAAGCCAAAUGCUAUGCUGGUUUUGAAGAUGGAGAAAAGGGCCAGGAAAGAAGGAAUGUAAGGAAUGCUGCUCUCAGGCUGGAAAAAGCAACAAAAUAGCUGCCCCACUAGAGUCCAGGAGGCUGUACUGCCUGCCAACCUUCAGCCCAGUGAAAUGGAGUUUGGGCUUCUCACCUUCACAGGGCAAAGAAGAAACUGGGUGUUGUUCCAACACCAAAGCAGCUGCAGGAAACUAAUACAAAACUUUAUAUGCAAUGCAUUUAUUUUCCCCAACCAAGAUUCUGCUUCAGAGAAGGGAACUUGUCUCCCUUUCUCAUCUCCCUUUGGGAAAACAUGAUUAGCAGAGUUAAGAGUUAAUUCUGUGUUCAUUCCUUCAAAUACCCCCAUUCCUCUGAGGGUUCCUUUGCUUCUUUUGGUGAUGGGGACUGAACCCAGGCCUCCCAAGGACUAAGCAUGCAUCUACUGAGCUACAACCCAGCCUCACUGCUGAGGUUUAUUUAUAAACAAUAUGAAAAUAAAGCUUUGGACAGAAGCUUCUAGCCCAGGCACAGCCUACCUCUAGAACUUCUCAGAGUCCAUAAUCUUGCUUUGGUCUAAUUCUAAAUCGGUUCCAUCUGUUAAAGCCCACCAAACAAAACCCCUCAUCUCCAUCUCACACUGAGGUCCAGAUAGUAUCCCAGAAUUUUUCUUAAAUUCCUUCCCCACAUCAUAGAUACUCAAUAAUUUUUGUGGUUGUUAGAAGUUGAUCUAGGGCAUUUCCAGUUUUUGCUCACCACCUGCCCUUUAAAGAAGUGCUCAGGGUCACUUUGACCUUGUGGUGAAGUCCUUGGAGAAACUGCAGAUAAAAUUGAAGGUCUAUUCUUAAUCUUCACUUUUAUCUUGUCCUUUUACUAUCCAUAGCAAUGGGUUUGGUAUAUUCCCUAGGAUGCAUGCCCAGGGAGUCCCAAAGUCACAAGGUUAUUUUAUUUAUUUUCUUAGCAUAAGUUUGAUUAUUGGCCCAUUUCCCACUGGUUCUCUGUACCAUGGAUGGAGCUAUUUGUGUUAAUUUAAACUAAGCGCAUCAAAAUGUUAGUGGUUAAGCACUUUGGGCUUUGUUCCUUUUCUUUUUGGAAAAAAUCUUUAACACUUUUAAUUGUGGUACAACACAUGUAACAUAAAACUUACCAAAUUAACGAUUUCUAAAUGUACAUUUCAUUAAUGCUAAGUGCAUUCACAGGACUGUGCCACAGAACUCCAACAGUGAAACAUUUUUACAACAAUACGGUUCUAGGUAGAAAUAUGGAUAUUUUUUGUUGUUUUGGUAUAAAAAAGUUAAAAUUCCUCAAAUGUUGUGAAUUUAGCCAAUUGUAAAAUUUUGGUGGAGGGAAUUAACAGUUGGGAAAUAGGAGACUGGAAAUUAGAAAUAGGGAAUUUGGGAGGCUGAAUUUUGGAGAUGGGUGAGGUUGUAGCAUUAUACAUGAUUAUUUUUUUCUUAUAUUUUAAAUUUGAUGGCUCUUCUGUACUUGUAUUUACCAGAAAUGAAAUAAAGGAAACAGAAUGUGAAAGCUGUCAGAAUCAAAAUAAAGUCAAUUGUGUCAACAAGUGAGUAAGUAAAGCCAAGAGGUUAUGAAGGAAAAGUUCUUACUCAUGACUUCCUGAUAGGAAUGGUCACAAAAGGCUCUGCUGGAACCACAAGCUUACAAAGAGGUCACCACAACCUUAUACAAAAAGUACUUCUGCCAUUUGGAGUGGUGGUGCACUCCUGGAAUGACUGGGCAGAAGGAUCCAAAGUUCAAGGCCAGCCUGAACAACCUAGUGAGACCCUGUCUCAAAAACAAAAAGGGCUGGGGAUGUACUCAAUGUUAGAGCACUCCUGGGUUCCAUUCCCCCCCCCCCUUCUCUCUCUCUCUCUCUCUCUCACACACACACACACACACACACACACACACACACACACCGUACUUCUACAAGAACAUCUACCCAGCAGUUGUCUUCAUCCUCCAACUAAUGCCAUUUUUGUUUUAAAUUAUUGUGGCUAAGGAUUAUUGUUUUGAAAUAUCUGAUGUAAUCCUGCUCAUUUCUGUUUUUAAAAACAUCCCCUUGCUUCAACUUCCUUAAAUACACCCAUAGUUUAUUAUGACAGUGUAUUCCCAUUCCAAUGCUCAGCAAAGCUAUUUACAAAUGAAUAUUAUUAUUCGUUGGGGAAUAUAUUUUGUUUUCCUCCUCAGCCUAACAGAAAACAGCACAGCUUCCUGGCAAAAAUCAAAUGCACUGUCAUAAUGGCAGUACAACAAAAGGUUACUUUUAGACAUACUUUUGUAAGGAACUUUCCUGGUAGUACCCAAGAUGAAUCAAUUUCAGAAGUUUAAACAUGAAAGGUUCAAAGAAGCUGCUGACAAUUGAGGCUCCUUGUGGCUAUCCAGUUAAUUUAGAUCUUGCUAGUAUUCCUAGAUUGGCUGACUCCUGGUAUACCUUGUCCCACACAUAGAACCACAGAUUAAAGCAUCCUUUGGCGCCCCCAUAUGCUAAAUGAAAGGAAUUGCACUUUUUAAAACUAAUUUCACUGUGCUGGACUCAGUAUGAAGUUUAGAGAGUAUCUGUGAUUUAGAGGAAUAAGAAACCCAUUUUUUCAAAACUAUACACCAUUAAUUUCUUUAAAAAAUUUUGUUACAAUGUAAACAUAUACUUGUGUUUUUGAUACUAGGAUUCAAGAUUGAGUUAAUACUUGUAAAAUAAUUUGUGUGAAAUUUGUAUAUAUGUGUUUGUAUCAAAUUCUCCUGGUUGUAUCAGAAGGAGAGUAGCUUGGGAUGAUAUACAUAAAAGUGCUUUGAUUAUGACAUGAUUGCCAGAAGAAAAUAGAGUCAGGAAGUCCUGGCUUAAUCAAAGGAGGUGAAUUGCUUCAUAAUAAUGGUUUGGUCAAUUAUUAACAGCAAUGACAGUCAACACUUACAAGGCACUCACCAUGUGCCAGCCCCUGAUCUCAGCACUUUUUGUGCACAUUAUCUCACUUCUCUGUGAAGUAGGUACAACCACUUUCUCUAUUGUAAAGUCUAGGAAAUGGAGGCAGAGAGAGAUUUAGUAACUUCAAGGUCACAGUUAGGUUAAGUAGCAAGCCAAGAUUUGAAUUUGACUUAUAAUUUUGGCUCAGAGUCCAGGGUUAUUAGAUGUUACUGCAUCUAGCAUUAAGAUAAUAGAAGUAAUAGCUUCCAUUUAUUGAGCAAUUACUGUGUAUGGUAAGUGCCUAAUGUGCUUCAUCUUAUUUAAUCCUCACACUAAUUUUAUGAAGGAGGUAUUGAUUACUUCAUCUUAGAAAUCAGGAACCUGGUCUCAAGGAAGUUAAGUACCAUGUCCAAGAUCACACAGCUGUUCAGUAGAUGAAUCUAGAUCUGUCUGAUUCCAGAUCCCCAUUUCUUUUUUUUUUUUUUUUUUUUUUAAAUUUUUUUUUUAAUUUUUUUUUUUAAAUAUUUAUUUUUCAGCUUUGGGCGGACACAACAUCUUUGUUUGUAUGUGGUGCUGAGGAUCGAACCCGGGCCGCACGCAUGCCAGGCGAGCGCGCUACCGCUUGAGCCACAUCCCCAGCCCCCCAUUUCUUAAUCACAUAAUCAGGUGGCUUUUUAAAGCAUUACCUAAUCACCAUGUGAUGAGACGAAAAAAUUUACUACAGUCUUUUAACUGAAAUGCUUGAGAUUGGAAGUAUUUCAAAUUUCAUAUUGAGGGGGCUUUGGAAUAUUUGCACAUGCAUAAUGAAAUAUUUUGGGGAUGGAACCCAAAUCUAAAUAAGAAAUUCAUUUAUAUUUCAUAUGUACCUUAACAUAACCAGAAGUUAAUUUUAUACAGUAUUUUUAAUGCACCUGUAUUUGACUGCAACUGUCACAUGGGGUCAGGUGUGGAAUUUUCUGCUUAUGGCAUCGAUGAGUGCUUGAAAAUUUUAGAUUUUGGAGCAUUUGGAUUUCAGACUUUUGAAUCAGGGAUAUUUAACCUCUAUAGUAAAAUAGUGGUCAGAAUAGGUGAAAUUCACCUCCACAGGCCCUCACUCUUCAAAGGAAUCUUGACUGUUUUAAUGCUAAAUACAGUACCCAUUUCUUGCCCUUUUCAAGAAAAACAAUUUUUUCUUGAUCUUUAUGAGAAAUCAUUAUCUACUUCGGAGGCCUACAAUGUCCUUUUGUAACUUUUGUCCUUUAGUACCUUUUGUGAAUAGACAAAAUGAGUCCAAACUAUCAUAUCUUUUGAUAUAUUGCACCUGUUUUUUCAAAUUUUCAUUCUGGCCUCCAGAUGUCAGACUGUUAUUUCUGUACAUUUCCUCUGGUAACCCAUUUUCUCACCUCUCGUAUCAACAUGGUGGGUAUAACUAAGAUGGAAAAACAAAAAAACAAACUAAGACAAGAGAACUGAGAAAAUAGGAAUGACCUAUGAAGAAAGAACCACUUUAAAAGAGGUUGUGAGUUUCAUUCCUAUGGUUAAAGGUAGGAGGCCUAGUAAACAAACUGUGUUCAAUCUAUCUAAAUUCUUUAGAUAAUUUUUUGUGUGUGUGUUUGUGUGUGUGUGUACGGCCUUUCUUAUCUGUAUUCUAGAUACCUGAAAUAGCUGGAUAGCAGGAUUCUGAAAAGAUGAAGUAUUAUCAUACAAGGGAGUAAAAUGACUGUUUUGACUUCAUGGCCGAUUAUGGGAUAUAUACUAUUUAACAUCUGUUCACACAUUUAAUUGAGGAAUUGCAAAACCAUUUUCUUUAGAGUUUUAAACAUAAACAUUUAUCUUCUAAUUUUGCCAUGAUCACUUCCACUUCAUUUUCCUGAGUGGUUGAAAACUGUUCUCUGCUCUCUGAAGUCUUGUGCUAGUCUGAGUGUGCUCUUUCUGUAGCAGGAGAUGGAUCACGUGUUCAGCUACUACUCAAUGGUCAUCUAUUUUGUGCCCUUUGUAACUUUUAUCCCUGGUUCAACAGCCGGAUAUCUUUCCAUUCUGAGGACAUCUCAGGUGACAGAGGUGACCUCAUGAAGCAUGGGGUGCAGAGGACACAAAGGCUCCCACUGGGGAAAAGGGAGGGGAAGAUCGGGACUGGUGAUCUAGGUUGGAAACAGGACCUUGAUUGUUUCAGGGAGUGAUUGGCCCCUGAGCAGCCUGGGACCAGGUUGCAGCACUUUUCUCAGGUCUCUUGCUGUAGGCCGGGCUGUUUCAAAUAAGCAGCCAGACCCUUGGGAGGCCAGAUCCAGGGGAACAGGGUUUGAGUUUUCUACACACCAGGACUGCUGGUUUCUAGCCCAAUACCCCACACUUCUCUGUAGUCUUUUCUGUAGAAAUGUCAGUUAAGCAUUUUUUUUUUUUUGGUUUAAUGACUCUAGUUAAUUUAGGAGGUAAACAGAAUUUAUUAGAGUGUGUUAAAUCAUUUUUGAAGAUCUACAGGCUGUUUUCCACAAAGCAGCCAGAGCAAUGUCAAACCAAUACAAGGCAUUUCAAGUCUCUCCUCACUAAAAACUUUUCAUCAUCCUUGAAUGAAGUCCUUUCAGGCCCUGCACAUUCUGGUCUUGGCCACCCUGCCUCACCUCUGCAGCCCUCCUCCUCUCAGUCUGGGCCUCAGGCACUCUUCUUCCCUAUUGUGGUUCUAAGCACCAAGCACUCUCCCAUCUCAGGCCCUUUGAACUUCCCUCACAGGCUGUGUUAGUCACUGUGACACAAUACUUGAGAAAACCAACUUCAAGGAGGGAAGAGUUUUUUUUUUUUUAAAUAUUAUUUUUUAGUUUUAGAUAGACACAAUAUCUUGAUUUUAUUUUUAUGUGGUGCUGAGACUCGAACCUAAUGCCUCAUGCAUGCUAGACAAGCAUGCUACCACUUGAGCCACAUCCCCAGCCCCUGAAGAGUUAUUUUGGCUCAUGGUUUUAGAGUUUUCAGUCCUUGGUUGGUUGGCUGGCUCCAUUGUUUUUAGGCCUGUGGCAAGGUAGAAAUAUGGCAGAAGGGCAUGGUGGAAGAAAGCUGCUCACCUCCUGGAAUCCAGGAAGCAGAGAAAGAAAGAGAGAGAGGGUGAGGAGAGGGGAGAGGCAUGCUAGGGACAAGAUAUAGUCCCCAAGGGCAGGCCCUCAAGGACUCCCUUCUUUCAACUAGGUCCCACCUCCUACAGUUUCCUCCACAUCCAAUAGUCCAAUCAGCUGUGAAUACAUCAAUGUAAUCCACUGGUGAGUUUGGAGCCCUCAAGAUCCAAUCACUUCCCCAAAGCCCACCUCUGAAUACUGCUGCACUGGGAACCCAGCCCUCAACACAUGGGCCUUUCAUGGACAUUCUACAUCCAAACCAGAACACCUGCCUAAGAAGCUCUUUGCCAGCAUUUUGCAUAGUCUACCUGCUCAAUCCAUGCAGAUACUUUUACCUGUUUAUCAACUCUUUCUUCAACUAGAAUGUCAACUGCCUGAUAGCAGGACUUUAUUGCCACAUCUCCAGGCUCUCAAGGUAAUAGAUAGCUCCAGGAACUAAAGUUGCAGAACUGAGGGUGAUCUCUCCAUGGCGCUGGAAUUGAAGAGUGGAAUGGAAUAUAUUAAAAUUUUUUCCGAAUGAUAUGUCAAGGUCAUUGUAUUGUCAUUUGUAACUAAUUAAAAUAAAAAAAGUUUACAUUAAUUUUUUUUUCUAAAAAAGCAUUAAAGAGCAAAAAUACAGUCGACAAUUAUGGUGUUGAGAUCUAGGAGAGGGUGGAAGUUCAGGAUGUUAAUACAUCAUUUGAUCACUUUUAUAAUUUAGAAGAGGCAGUAAUAAGGCUGAGCUAGAAGUGUCAGAUCCAAAUCUAGGACAUGGAAAGGAUAAGUGUCCUGCUAAAUUACACCUGUCCCCACUUCUUUCACUGCAAUUAUAGCUUGAUAAUGGACUAAAAGUAAACCAUUUUUUUCCUGAUCCUGUGGGCAGCCUGGAAAAUCCCAAUAAAAUGAUCUGAUCCUGUGCUGCCAGAAGCCUUAAAGGAAGAAAUGAAAAUGACAUCUGGAGGAUUAUGAUACUACGGUUGCCCUUAAAAUUUCCUUAUAAGUAAAUUCUUAACUUACAUUAGACUUUGUCAGUUAAAGAUCCAUUUUGGAAAUUCUGGGGUCACUAAUAAAAGAAAUCUAAAAGAAUAUAUCUUUCACACAAACAGGAAAAAUACCAUAAAAACAAGAUGAAACAAAACCAAGCAAUCCCUACACAAGAAGGCAAAAGAGGGGAGCAAGAAAAAGGAACCCAAAGCCAGCACACAGAUAGAGGCUUUGCGGUAAGAUAGUAAACAUAACAGUAACAUUAACUAUAAAUGGACUCAGUGCUCUUGCAGUCACAUAUAUAUGAAUGUUAUAUAUAUUUAUAAUAAAUAUAAUUUUUCAAGCAAUAUACAUAAAGUGUAAAGAUGAUAAGAUAUAGAAAGACUGAAAGUAAAAUACCAAUCCCUCCCAUCUCCCCAGUUUGUUUUAAAAUGGGAGCAGCUGUGUGUGUGUGUGUAUGUGUGUGUGUGUGUGUGUGUUUAGUACUGGAGAUUGAACCCAGUGGUGCUCUACUGAGGCACAUUCCCAGCCUUUUUUUAAAAUUUUUAAUUUGAGACAUAGUCUCACAAAGUUGCUUAGGGUCUCACUAAAUUGUUAAGGCUGGCUUUAAACUUGCAAUCUUCCUGCCUCAACAUCCUUCCAGCCACUGUGCCUGGCUACAGCUAUAUAUUAAUAUCAGAUAAAAAAGAAUUUAGGAAGAGAGCAGUGAUAGAAUUAACGGGCUUUACUUCAUAAUGGUAAAAAGAUUAAACUCACCAAAGAAGACAUGGCAGUUCUAUAUAUGUGUAUGUGCAUUUUUUUUUUCAGUGCUGGGGAUCAAAUCCAGAGCACAGUGCAUGCUAGGCAAGUGCUCUACCACUGAGCUACAUCCCCAGCCCUUUGAUCAGUAAAAUAUUUGAUAAAAUUCAACAUCUGUCCCUAAUUUGGAAAAAUAUUUUUAAAAACUAGGAUUAGAAAAGAACAUUUUUAGGAUAAGGCAUAUCUAAAACAAAACAAAAACUAAUGAAAUGUUGAAAGCUUUCUCUUUUAGACCAGUGUGUUUAUUGUGUUUUUUAUUUUCUAUAGCUCAUGAUGUGCUGACAUCUCGAAAAUCUUCCUAGCUAUGGAGAAACUGUCCUCACUGAGCUGGACAGUUCCUAAAAUUAGUAGACAAUAGACAACUGGCUGAACAUGGUGGUGUGCACCAGUAGUUCUCAGCUACUUUGGAGGUUGAGGCAAGAGGAUAGUUUGAGUCUGGGUGUUUGAGGCCAGCCUGGGUAACAUACCCUGUUUCCAAAAAAAAAAAAAGACAACUUAAUUGGGAAUAUGCUUUUAUAUGCAAGUCAACCACCCCUGUGUUAGUUAGGCUUUCAUCAAAUACCUGAUAUGAUCAACUUAAUAAGGGAAAAGUUUAUUUUGGCUCAUGGUUUCAGCCUAUGUGCUCUUGGCCCUGGUGCUUUGGGCCUGUGGUAGAACAGUACAUCAGAGUAGCAGUUCAUGGCAGAAGAAGCCUGUUCAUUGCAUGGCAGCCAGGAGAGAGAGAGGAGAGAGAAAGGUCUAGGGUCCCAAUAUCCCUUCAAAGGCAUUCUCCCAACGGCCUAACUUCCUCCCUCGAAAGGCCCUAACUUCCUAAAGGCUCCUCACUCCCAGUUGUGCCACAGGCUGGGACCAAGCCUUCAACACACGGGCCUUUGGGAAUCUUCAAGAUCCAUACUAUAGCAACUCCUUUUUAUCUAACACUCAUAUGUCACAAGCAUAUUUCCCUGGCUUCAGUAUACUGAGAGCCAGGUAUUGGGCAAGUAGGUAGCUCCCUAUCGCUCAAAGUCUGCUGUGUACUAUUCAAAUUAGCCAAAUCAUAUGUGUGGUACUGGAUAUUCACAGAGCCCUGUGCAUACAGAGCCCAUGCUCUGCCACAGAGCUAUACCCCCACUGUAGUUAGUCUUCCACGAUUCCCCGUCCCCUGCCUGGUGUUUCUUAAGGAAAAUCCCAAUAAAGGCUCUGGACUAGGCUUUUGCCUUACUCCUGCUUCUGUCCCUCACCAAAUCUGGUGCUCUUUACUGGUUCUAGGUGACAUGGUGUGUUCCCUUCUCCUGGUGAAUCUAUUCUUUCAAUGGCAUUAACCACUCUGUGUUGUUACCGCCAUAAAUUAAAAUCCAAUGGGUACAAAUGAGACAAUUAGGAGAAUACAAAGAUGCCUACUAUUACAUUUCAUUAAUAAUUUUAGCUGAGUCCAAGAAAAAUCAGUUAGAUAAAAAAAAGAAAUAAGAUGUAUAAUACUCAAUAUUCAUGAGGAAUUGGUUACCCAAUAACAAAAUCUACAGAUGUGUAAGUCCCUUAUAUAAAAUGCCAUAGUAUUUUCAUAUAACUUAUACGCAUCCUUACCUGUACUUUAAUUCUCCUUCUUUUUUCUUCCAUUACUUUAUUUAUUUAUUUAUUUUAAAGAGAACCAUUUUUUUCAGUUGUUGAUGAACCUUUAUUUUAUUUACUUAUUCAUAUGUGGUACUGAGAAUCAAACCCAGUGUCUCACACGUGCAAGGCAAGCACUCUACCGCUGAGCUACAACUCCAGCCCCUCUUCCAUUACUUUAAAUCAUCUUUAAAUUACUUAAUACCUGAUAUAAUCUAAAUUCUGGGUAGAUAGUUGUAUUGUUGAGGGGAAAAAAAGUAGAAAGUCCGUACAUGUUCAGUAUAGAUGAAAAUUUUUUUUGAAUAUAUUUUUUAAAUUAAAAUUUUUUUUUGUAGUGGUAGAUGGACAGAAUGCCUUUAUUUUAUUUGUUUACUUUUAUGUGGUGCUGAGGAUCACACGUGCCAGGCGAGUGCUCUACUGCAGAGCCACAACCCCAGCCCUCUUUUGAAUACUUUUGAUCAGUGGUUGGUUGAAUUCAUGGAAGUGGAACUCAUGGAUAUUGAAGGUCUGUAUAAGGAUUGAAAAGAAAGAAAUGAAGCAUUCAUCAAUAUUACUAUUAUUAUUAUUAUCAUUAUUGAGAACUGGCUAUGUGAAAUAAUAAAUGGCAGUCUUAGAGCUAGAGGGAGCUACCUAGUAGCCUGGCAACUGGCCCUGGGAAUAUUGAGGCCAGGAGAGAUAUGCUUGGUAUGUGAGAGUGAGAUAAAGGGAAUUGCUAUUGUUUGGAUCUUGAAUGUCCUCCAAAUGUACAAGGAGUGUAGUUCAGUGAUAGAACACUCAUCUAGCAUGCAUGAAGUCCUAGGUUUGAUCCCCAGUACGGGGGGGGGGAAGAUUGGAUUAUGACAGAAAAUCUGAAAGAACUUGUGAAUGCAUUAUUAUAAAAGCAAUUUUAAUAGUGGAUACAAGUUAAUAUAAAAAUUAAUUGCAUUGCUACAUAUCCACAAUCAAUAUUUAGAAAAUGAAGUAAUAUACCAUUCAAAAUAGCAUUUACUUUUAGAUCUUAAAUUGUUUUGAGAAUCUUUGUGAAAAAAACUGUAAAACUUGAAAGAAAAUAAAGGCAAAUUAAAUGUUUAUGGAUUUGAUGACCCAAUAUUUAAAAAAUGUUAAUUCUCUUUAAACUACUAUUAAGUUUCACCUGUAAUCCUAGUGAAAAAUAGCAACACCAUUUUUCUGUGUGUGAAUGUAAAACUUGACAAGCUAAUGGUUAAUUUAUAUGGAAAAGCACAGGGCUGGAAAUAGCCAAGAUACUUUAAAUCAAGAAGACCAAUGUGGGGAGACUUGCUCUAUUUGAUUCUAAGGCUUAAAAUCAUUAAUAAUUAUAAAACAUUGUUUUGGUUCAAGGAUGGAGAAAUGAAGAUAAUAGAGUUGAAGCAUUCAUACAUAUGCUUAUUAAUUGAUUAUUAUUAUAAGGGAGGCAAUGCAGAGUAUUAGGAAAAGGACUAUCUUUUAAAUAAAAGGUACAAAGGCAAAUGAACCAUAAAUGAAAGAUGACGCAGAGGAGGCGAAGGGAAGGAAGAGAAGAAGGAUGCAGAAAAGGGAAAAAAAGAAAGAAACUGGAUCCAUAUUGUACAUCACGACAAAAGUUAAUUUUAGGUGGAAAGUAGAACUCAAUGUCAAAUGCAAAACAAUAAGCUUUUUAAAGAGAAUCUAGGAGAAUAUAUAUAGCAAAAGAUAUUUUAAAAUAAGGCACAUGGAAAAAAAGAUAGUUAAAAUUUACUUACAUGUGCAGAAGACACAGUAAGUCACAGCAAGAGAAGGAAAAAGAAAAUCACAGAGAGGGAGAACACACUUGAAACACGUCUAAUAGGGAAAGGGCCAUAUUCCAAAUAUAAAAAGACCUUCCACAAUUCAAUAGGGGAAAAUAAGAAAGACACCCUCAUGGAAAAUGGAAAAGAAUUGGACAAAGCACAAGACAGAAUAUCUGAAUGGACAAUAAAUAUAUGUAAAGGCAUUUAGACUCAUUAGUAAUUAAGAUCAUGCAAAUUAAAACUACCGAGAGAGGUACAAUUACAUACUGAUUAGACUGGGUAAACUUAAAUUGUAAUCAUAAAAAGUUGACUGAGAUGUGGAACAAUGGAAACUUUCACAUACUGCUGGGAGGGGGUGAGGUGGUGAAUUGAUGCUCCCAUUUUAGAAAACUAUCAUUAUCUUGUAAAGUUGUAGAUUUGUAUAUUCUGUUACUAAAAAAUACCUUUCCUAAGACAAUAUCCUAUAGAAAUGUGUGAUUAUGUAUAUCAGGAAAACAUGUACAAGAGUGUUUAUAGCAGUAUGAAUUAAAAUAGCUUCAAAUUAGCAACAAACUAAAUACUCAUUAAUAAUGGAAAAAAUAAAUAAAUUAUGAUAUAUUCAUAAAAUGAAAUACUAUACAGCAAGAAAAAAGUGAAGGAACAACAACCACCAUAUGGACAUAGAUGAAUUUUAUGUAAUAAUUUGAAUAAAAGAAGCUAGAUGCAAAAAAACACAUAUUUAGAUGUAUUCCAUUUAAAUAAGGUAAAAAUUGUGUGAAUGACUAUUCAAAAAUAGUCAAAACUAAAUUACAUAGGUUGAGGAUUCAUAUUGGGAUGGUAGAACUAUAAAGUAAAGCCAGGAAAUGAUUACAGCAGUCCUCCCUUAUCCAUGGGGUAAUAGGUUCCAAGACCCACAGUGAAUGCCUGGAGCUGUGAAUAUUACUGAACCCUGUAUGUAUUAUGCUUUCUCCCAUGUACAUGUAUAAUUACUUUAUAAAUUAGGUGUAGUGAGAGAUUAACAAUAACAAUAUUACAAUGGAAGAAUCAUAACAACGUACUAUAAUAAAACUUAAGCAAAUGUGGUCUCUGUCAGAAUAAACUGUUUUACUGCACAUACCUUCCUGUGGUGAUGGGGGCUAACACCAUGCCCAGGUGAUGAGGUGAGCGAGGAGAAUGUGAGAUGCAGCAGGUGGGCAUUGUGAUGGAGCAAUUGGGCCACUGUGUGAAGUUUUCUCAAACACUACCUCUGUGGUACCACAGCAGCCCAUCUAAUAACUGAGCUGGUUACCAAGAGACUCCUGGGUGGUUAGUGACUGCAGUGCACAUAUGCUGGACAAAGGGACGAUUCACAUCUCUGGUGGGACAGUGUGAGAUUUCAUCAUGCUUCGCAGAAAGGUGCACAAUUAAAAACUUGUGGAUUGUUUAUUUCUGGUAUUCUUCACUUAAUAUUUUUGGAUCACAGUUGACUGCAGGUAAUUAAAAUGGUGAAAAGUGAAAUCUUGUAUAAGACAGGAGUCUAUUGCCCUAUCAAAUUCAGAAGGGUUGUUAGCACAGGGGUGAGUUCCUAGAAUUUUUGCCUAGUGUCCAGAAGGUAGUAAGCUGCAAAUACAUUCCAGUCCACAACUACACUGAUGAUUACAAUAGUUUGACACCUUCAGUGGGUAUUGAAUGGAAUUCUCUUAUUAUAUUGCAGGCAUGGCUGGGUGUGGUGGCUCACUCCUGUAAUCUCAGUGGCUUGGGAGGCUGAGACAGGAGAAUCGCGAGUUCAAAGCCAGCCUCAGAAAUGGUGAGGCACUAAGCAACUCAGUUAGACCCUGUCUCUAAUUAAAAAUACAAAACAGGGCUGGAGACGUGGUUCAGUGGUCGAGUGCCCCUGAGUUCAAUCCCCAGUAACCCCCCGCCCCCAAAAAAAAUUCCCCUAAUACAGUCAUGAAAUGAAAAAUCCUGGGGGAAUGAUAUAUGAUAUUCAGGAUGGAUAGAGGAGUGCAAUUAAUCUGGAGUAUGCAGGAUCCCAUCUGGAAGGACUGAUGGUAUCUAAAGAGGCUCUGUCUAGUUCAAGGAUCCCAUUUGAUACAAAAUAGGGAGUUAUGGUGUUGGUACCAAAUAAAACUUGGUGCAUUUCAUAAUUUCUCAUCAGACUCAUCUUGCAUAGGAGGUAAUCAUUCAACCUACAUAUUUUAGGAUACUUUUGAUUUCAGAUGUUUAUAUAUUGUGCAUAUAGUUGAAUAGAUAUGUAUCACUACUGAAUUAUAUAUUUAAUCUGUACAUGUUUUGUGUUUCUCUUCACAUAAUUUUUAGUCAAAAUGAUUCAUUAAAUGUGUAUCUAAAAAGGGUUUUGUUUGCAUCCUUUGAAUAAUUUCAAAUUAAAUAAAUAAAUUCACAUUUGAGGAAAAAAAUCUUUGAUAGAUCAGGGUUUUCUGAUUGUUAGUUCAGAAACUUGGAUCAACAGUCACCUCAUCCCUGAGGAUCAUGGUCUAAUUAAUCAUGCAGAUUAAUUUCCCCAGCUGGAGUGGUGAAGCCAGAGCACAGGAUGCACAGUAUGAGGUGUCCCUAGCCCCAAGAAAUGAAAGAGACAUGGAAUUUUUGAAACUGGGAUGCAGGAUUCAAGCUGUACCUGUGCUGCUCAUAACCUAAAACUAAAUAGAGGAUUAAAUCAAAGCUAAUGACAACAUAGAUGUUAAACGAGUACUUAUAGUAGCUUUUAGGUUAUAAGGUCCAUAAAAGACAUCUUAUCAGUGUUGCUAAAAUACCUGGUAUUUUCUUUUUUCCUUACUGAUUUUUUCCCCUUAAUUCUCUUGAGGCCUAUAAUUUUCUGUGAGCUUCAGAACAUAUAGAAACAAGUUGGUUUUACUUGGGGCAAGUAGGGGUGUGGCAGUGUGGAUGUGGGAGGAAAAAAAAUAGUAUUCACCUUAAUGUGGUUAUUGUUGGAGUUUAACUCAGACGUGAUGAUGGAAAUAAUGAGAACAAUAAUAAUGGCUUUAAACAUGAUUUGGCAGCAAUUUUAUUUGUUGUAUCAUAAAAUGGCUGGCCCAUGAUAGCUAUAUAUGAAGAUUAGGAAUAAAUUUUGUAAGUGUGCUCAGGAAGCAUGCAUGCUAAUCCCAUUAUCUGAUAACAGGAUUUGUGUCCAUACCUCCCACAUGCAGCACAAGUAACCCACCCUUUUAGUAUCGCUGUGAAAUGCAAUUUGUGUGCAGAUGAAAAGUUUACAGAACAUGGGCCCAUGCCAUGAUGCUCAACAAAGCCGGCGCACUGUGUGGCAAGGUUUCUGAACCUGACCCCUGUCGCUCCUGUGGACUCCCUCCUUAUUGAUUUCCGUCCCUUGGCCAAGCUGGCUUUGUGGUGGUCCGCAUCGACCCAGAAACUUUGAAAAAUGAGCUAAUCAAAUUGGCGCAGCAGAGAUCCACCCUGAAUUUCUAGGAGGUUUAGAGACUUGCCACACACAGAAAGUCUGAGGAGAUGACUGGGUCAAGCAGGGGGUUUGCGGAAUGUAAGGGAUAAGGAGGCAAAAUGAUCAGAAGGAUCAUUAAUUACUUGACAGACAUGUCCACAAAGAUAGGUAAAGCUCAAACCAAAGGCAUGUGUUUGAGGAAUUAUGGCAUAGGUGCUGCUUUUAAAAUAAAGUCCUUCUAUUCAUAUUUUAAGGCUUUGGUUCACAUGGUCUGCCUACCUUCCUUUUUGAUAGCGCUCACAAUAACUGGCAUAAAUCUUCACAUAAAUAUACCAAGAGCAACAGAUGUUAGUGACAGAAGCUGCUGCGAAAAUAUGGAAAAGAAUACACUAUUCUAUGGCUUGCAAGGGCAGAAGCACAGAUUCACACUUUAUAUUCCAGAAAAAAAGAUUAAUUCACACAUUGACAUGUGAAUUUUGUUCUUCCCAACCAGCCAAUGAAGAAGGGAAAGUUAUUUUAAUUGAGGAUAUUUAUGUCAAUCUUUGCUCAUCAUAAAACAUGAUUGUGGUUUAAAUAAUGUAUUAUUAUUCAAGAUACAAUAUAUUUAGCAAUUAUUACAGAGCAAAUAGUUAGGAGAGAAAAUAUUAAAUCCUAAGGAUAGUGAGAAACUUGGUUUUAGGGACUCUGUGGGUACCUGGUGGGGAAAUAUGCUAUGCUAGGUCUUUUUAUUUCCAUAUGCAUUUUGGAAUUGGAUUGUCUAUUUCUACAUAUAAACCUGUUAGAAACUUGCUCAGGAAUGUGCUGGCUCUGUAGGUCUAUUUGGCAAGAAAUUGAUAUCUGGAAUAGUAUUGAGCAUGCUUACCAGUUGACCUCAGUAUGUUUAUUUAGUUCUUUCAUUUUUCUUAACAAUGUUUUACACUUUUCAGUGUACAGCUUUUGCUCUGUUUGUUAGACUUACCCCUAAAUGUCUUGUGUUUUUGAUGGUAUUAUAAAUAAUUCUGCUUUUAUAUUCAAUUUUCAAUUCUUCACUGCUAAUAUGUAGACUCACGACUUACCUUUUUAAUAGUGAUCUUUAUCCUGCAAAUUUGCAAAAAUCAUGAUUUCUACAUGUUUUGAAAUCUACAUGUUUUGAAAUGUUAUAUUUUAUUUGCCGUUCAGUUGUUCCCCACACUACCUCCCCCUUUAGAUUUUUUUCUUUUUUAAAGUUUUUAUUUGUUCUUUUCAGUUACAUAUCAAAAGACAGUAGAGUGUAUUUUGACUUAUUAUACAUACAUGGGGUAUAACUUCCUUCUUGUGGUUGUACAUGAUGUGGUUGUACACUGAUUGUGUAUUUAUAUUGAAUAUAGAAAAGUUAUACUGAUUCAUUCUCUUUAGUAGAUUUUUUAGGAUUUUCCUAUAUAGAAAAUUGUGGCUUCUAAAAAUUGAGAGAUUUCUUUAUUUCCAAUAUGUAUGCCUUUUUUGUUUCUUACUUUAUCCUAUGAUCUCCUUUAUGAUACAGAAUAGCAGCAAUGAAAGUGGACAUCCUUGUCUUGUUCUUGGUCUUAAAUGGAUAAUGUUCAACCUUUUAUCAUAAGUACGAUUAUUAAUUGUAAAUUUUUUUGUAGAAGUACUUUAUCAAUUUCUACCUUAGGAUGUUGGAAUAAGAAGAGCAAAUUAGGCAUAAAGUAAGCAGAGCAAAGGGAAAAACUAAAGUCAAGAGCAGAAAUCAGUAAAAUAGGAAACAAAAGCAAUAGAGAAAAAUCAUUGAAAUCAAAAUCAGGUUAUUUGAGGACAUCGUUAAUAUUGAUAAACAUCUAGUUAGAGUGAGGGGAAAAAAAGAGAAGAUGUGAAUGGUCAAUGUCAGGUAUAAAAUAGGGGCUAUUACUACCAGCCCUACAGACAUUAAAAGGAUAAUAAAUUGAACAUCACAUACAACUUUAGGCACAUAAAUUUGGCAAACUAGGUGAAAUAGGCAAGUUCCUUGUGGAUACAAAAUUUAAAGCUCAUGAAAGAAGAAACUAGCAAAUUAAAUAUUCCUGUGUAUAUUGAUACAUGUAGUGAAAGCCUUCCUAUGUGAAAUAUUUUUUAUUUGUUCUUGUGUCACUUUUAGUAAGUUAUGUUUUUCAAGGAAUUUGUCCAUAUCAUCUAAAUUACCAAAUUUAUUGGGCUAAGUUAUUCAUUGCAUCCUUUAAAUUAAUUUUAAGAUAUAAAUGGUAUUUGUAGUGAUAUUUCCUCUUUCAUUCCUGGAUAUUAUAACUUGUGUUCUAUCUUCUAUAUUGCAUGUCUGUUUUCUGCUACAUUCAUGUUUGUUUUUAUGUUUAUUAUUUUGUUUUUUCAAUUUUCUUUGCAUUAUUUUGCUUUUCUUUACCUAGCUCCUUGAGAAUGAAUGCUUAGAUAAUUGAUUUUUCAAUCUCUUUUCUAAUUUAAGUAUUUAAAUAUAUAAAUUUCUUGUAUAAGUCUGGUUUUGUAUGCAACCUAUAUGUUUUUAAAUGUUAUAUUGCAUUUAUUUUUUAGUUGAAAAUAUUUUUAAAUUACCAGUGUCUAUUGUUGUUUGAUCCAUGGGUUAUUUAAAUCUGUGCUGUUUAGUUUCUAAGCAUAUAGCUAAUCUCCAACUAAUCAUUUUUGUUAUUUAUUUCUAGUUAUAUCCCUCUGUGGUCAGAGAGAACAUAUUCUGAUUUAACAUUUUAAAAUUUGCUAAGACUUGCUUUAAGGAAGAAUAGAUAGCCUGGGUACAAUUUGUAUUCUGCAUUUGUGGGGGCAGUUACUAAAUCCAUGGUUACUAAAUUCAGUUUGUUCAUCAAGAACAUAAAAUAGUAUAGAUCUUUACUGACUUUUUGCUUUUGUCUUUCUGUUCUUUUAAUACCAAGACAAGUGUUUAAAAAACUCUUACUGAUUGUAGCUUUUUUUCUCUUCUUAAUUCUGUCAAUUUUUGCUUUAAAAAAUCCUGAGGCUUCAUUAUUAGGUAAUAAUAGAUUUUAACUGAUCGUAUCUUUCUGGUGAUUGUCCUUUACCUUAUGGCAGAGUGUUCCUUUUAUCUUCAAUAAUAUUUCUUGUUUUAAGCUCUAUUUUAUCUGAUGAAGUAUAUUCUGAACAUAUCACUCUUUUAUCUAAAGACAGAAUGAUUGAAAGUAAAAACAUGGAAAAAGAUACACAGCUUUCUUUUGGUUAGUAUUAACUUGACAUGUUUCCCCAUUCUUUCACUUUCAAUCAUUUUGUAUCUUUUAUUAAAGUUGUCUUUCAUAAAUAACACAUAUGUGUGUUUGAAAAUUCAGACAGAUAAUAUUUGUUUUUAAAUUGGAAGCAUUUGGGGCUGGGGUUGUGGCUCAGUGGUAGAGCGCUUGCCUAGCAUGUGUCAGGCGCUGGGUUUGAUCCUCAGCACCACAUAAAAAUAAAUAAAUAAAAUAAAGGUAUUGUGUCCAACUACAAUAAAAAAUAUUUAAAAAAUUUGGAAGCAUUCAUCUCUUUACAUUUAAUGAGAUUACUGAUAUAAUUGGAUAUGUGCUUACUGUCUUAUUUUAUAGCUUUCCAUUUUUCUCAUCUGUUCAGUUAGUUUACAUUUAUCUUGCCUUUUAAAAACUAAUCUUUAUUUUCAGAAUGCAUUUUGGUUUCAGAAAAACUGAGCAGAUGGUACAGAGUUCCUAUAUACCUAGCCUCUGCCCCUUGAUUCCCCUGUUGUUAGCAUCAUACAUUAGUGUUAUGUUGGUAUAAUUAAUGAUCAAUAUUGAUAUGUUAUUACUGAAUUUCAUAGGCUCUGAAAGUAUACUUAGUUUUUGUCUAAUGUAAUUUUUCUGUUUCAGGAUCUCAUCCAGGAUACCUCAUCACAGUUGUCAUGUUCCUUUAUUCUUCUUGAUAGUCCCUGUUUUUAAUGACUUCAGCAAUUUUAAGGCAUACCAGUCAGGUAUGGUGUAGGAUGCCCCUCUAUUGUAACUUACUGUAUUUUUUUUUAAAAUGAUUAGGCUGCUGUUAAAAGGUUUUAGAAAGGGCCACUGUCAUCAUAUAAUAUCAAGUACUAUCAAUAUGUUUUAUGACUGUUGAAGUUGACCUUGCUCUCCUGGUUGAAAGAGUGUUUAUCAAGUUUCAUAAAAAUAUUCUUUUCUCACUUCCUUUCCUUACUUUCUCUACUGUUCUUUGAAAGAAAGUUUCUUAUACAUAGACUUUGCUCCUCUUCCUUUAGGGUGGAGUACCUAUGUAAUUUAUUUGAAAUUCCUUUGUAUUGGACAUUUGUUUCUUUUUGCUUGUGUUCAUUUAUUCAUUGGUUUAUUUAUAUCAGUAUGGGCUCACAGAUAUUCAACAUUUAAUAUUUUGGGCUACAACCCAGUACUACUUCAUUUAUUUUGUUGCAUAAAUUGUUCUAGCUUUGGCCAUUAGGAGCUCUUUCAGUUGAUUCCUAUGUCCUUUUGAAAUAUUCCCAUCAGUGUGUGUGCACGCACUUGUGUGUGCAUUUGAACUCUUUCUUUCUGGCAUUACUUGUAUAUUUGCUGUCCUUGUCCCAGUUAGUCAUUUCUCUGAGAAGUCCUUCUGAGUUCUUUUUAUUUUAUUGGAAGUUGAUAUUAAAGAUCAAGAUCUGGGUGCUAGGGGUGUUCAUUGCUUCUAGGAUGUUGUUUCUUUUAGGCCUUCUCAGAUAACACAAUGAAGAUAUAUAUAUUUCUAAAGAACAGGACAAUAGAUAAGCUGAGAUUUUUUUUUAGCACAUGCCAACAGAACUUCUUUUGCAAUUUCUUUUCUCCAAUCUUCCUCAACCCAAUGAACAAGUACAGAUGGUAUUCAGUUCAGAGGUGGUUUAACAAUUCCAAACACAGUGUUUCUCAUCAGGUUUUAAAAGCUGUUUAUAAAAGUUUUAUUCUACUAUUUCUACUUUUAAAUGAAUCAAGCAUUUCUAAACAUAUAGAUGGACUAGAUAUUCUACAUGAGAACUUGUCCACUAUGUGUACAACACUAGUAAAUAAAAUUGCACAUGUUGCAAUGAUUGUAAUCUUCAGAACAUUCCAACUUUACUUACUUUUCUCUGACUUUUGUGCUAUUAUUGUAAUUAUCUAUCAAUUAUUUUCCCAUAAGGCAAUUUUUUAUUGUGUUACAUAGUAAAUAUUCACUAAUAUUCACCACACUUUAUCCUCUUUAUUAUUAUUAAUUCCUUCUUGCACCUUUGUGCUUCCAUCUGGGAUCAUGUGCCUUCUGUCUGAAGACUACCUGUUAGCAUUUCCCUUAAUUCGUGUCUGCUGGUGAAGAAUUCAGUUAAUUUUUGUAUGUCCAAAACUACAUUUUGCUUUUAUCCUUGAAGGAUAUUUUUAGUGAAUAUAAAAUGCCAUGCUAUUGUUAUUUUCUCUUAGCACAUAGUUUUUUGACUUUCAUGGUUUCUGUUAAGGAGAUGGUUGUUUGUUUUACUGUUGCUCCUCUGAAGAUAAUGUCUUUUUUUCUUUCUGGGUGCUUUUAAAAUGUGCUCCUUGUCUUUGGUUUACAACUGUUUUACUCUGAUGUACUUUCCUUUGUACUUAUUCUGAUUUGGAUUCAUAGGAUUUCUUGAAUGUAUGGUUUGAAUUGUCAGGGGCUAGAAGGAAAUUCUCCUUCAAAGAAUAGCCUGACAUUUACAAAAAACAGCCCCCUGGGAGACAUCCUGCCUGGGAGACAUCCUGCAGCUACCUAUCUCCCUGGAACAUCCUGCAGUUAUCAGGAUCAUCAGACAUCUUGCAGCUGGCAGUUUUACCACCCACAUCCAGCAAUUGCUGAUUAGAGAGCUUCCCUAUCCCCAGCAUAUAAAUACCCCUGUGUGAACAAUAAAAAUUUGCAGCUUGAUCAGAAUUCCUGUCUUGCUGUCAUCCUUCGUGUCUCUUGUCCCUUCAUUCCUCCCCACCUAGGUUCACCGCCCACGUUGAUGUGUCCUGCCGGUUGGGACAUUGAAUGAAGUCUUCCAUUUAAUUUGUAAUUGUGUUUUAAAUUUUGUAUGGUAUUAUUGCUAGAGAAUAUUGUGUGCAUGAUACUGAUUCUUUGAGACAUGUUAAGAUGUGCUUUAUUGCUAAGUAAGUAGUUGAUCUUUGGAAACAUUGCUUUGAGUCUGAGAAAAAUGUAAGUUCUCUAGUUAUUGGGUACAUAAUUAAAUAUGUUAAUUAUAACAAUCUUAUAUGUUGUUUAAAUAGUACUUCUCUGUGUUAAUUUGCUGUCUUUCAAACUCUCAAUAAUUAUUGGAAAUGUGCUGAGAUGUCGUACAAAGUACAUUAUUUUGAGGCAAUUUAAUUUUGUGUACCCAUGUUUAAAAUUGUUAGAAUCACUGUGAAUUGAAAACUUUGAUGAUUAUGUAGUGCCUGUCUCUAUUCCCAAUAAUGUUCUUUAUUUUACAUUCUAUGUUAUCUAAUAAUAAUAGUAAUAAUAAUAAUAAUAUGUUCUGUGCAUUAUUUUGGUAUUCAUCUGGUAAUUCUUAUUUUAUGUUCCUAUUUUGAAUCUUUCCACAUCUUUAUAUUUUAGGUGUGACUAUUAUAAACAGUAUAGCUAUAUUUUGAGAACUAUAUUUUAAAAAUUGGUGUUUGACUCACUUAUAUUUGUUGUGAUUAUUGAUAUAUUUGGACUUGAACCUACCAAAAUAAAAUUUGUCCUAUGUCUUUCACUUUCUUUUUUUCGCUACCAGAAUUGAAUCCAGGGGUGUUCAACCACUGAGCCACAUUCCCAUCCCUUUUUUAAAAACAUAUAUUUUGAGACAGGGUCUUGCUAAGUUGCCUACGGUCUCCCUAAGUUGCUGAGGCUGGCUUUGAACUUGUCAUCCUCCUGCCUCAGCCUUCAGAGUCCCCAGGGUUACAAGAGUGUACCACCCUGUGCAGCCUGUCUUUUGCUCUUGCUUCUUUGUUCCUCUUGACUUUUCAAAAUUAACUUAUUUUUUUUUCCUUGGUUAAAUCUUUAUCUUAAUCACAUGUUACCCCUGCACUGGUUAAAAUAGUAUGCUCUUUUCUUUUAGUAAUCAGGGUUGUCAUUUUAUCAGAUAUAUUAAAUUUAAGUUUAAAGUGAGAGUAUUUAAAUACUCUCCUGAAAAAUAUAAGAAUCUUAGGAUAUUACCCACUUUUGAUUAAAAAGCUUGAUCUUUAUCUUUUAAACUCCUCCUUCCCUUUUUUCCUCCUCCUUCCCUUUUUUCACUUUUCCUCCUCGUCAUUUUUGUUCUCUUUUUUCAUAUAAAUGAUGAAAAAAGAUCAUUCACAUCAUUAUCAAUUGAUUCUUUUUGCAUUUCAGACUUUCCUUUUGCAACAACUUUCCUUCUUAUGGAAGCACCUCUUUUAGAAGUUUCCCUGAUGAAGAUCUGUUAGUAACAAACUCUCUAGGUUUUUGUUCAACUGAUAGUGUCUAUAGAGACAUUUUCAUUUUAUUUCUGAAAAGAUGGUUUUGCUGAAUGCAUAAUUUUAAAUUAACAAAUUUUCUUAAGACUUUAGAGUUGUUAUUCCUCUUUUAUUUUCUAUUGUUACUAUUGAGAGUCUAACCAUAAUUCCCUUUCUUUCAGGUUAAUUUUAAUUUCUUUUGUGGUCUUACAUUUUGCUACAUUGUACAUCUUCAUGGAUUUCUAUUUAUAUUGCUUGUUAUACAUUAACUUCUUGUUAAUUCUUGUUUAAUUCUAAACAAUUCUUUGUCAUUUUCUUCACAAAUAUUUCAGCUUCUCCAUCAUCUCUAUUUCUUCUCUAGUACUCUGGUUGUAUUUUAAAGCCUUUAUCUUUUAAUCUCUCUUUCUUGCUGUCUAUCUUUAUAUAUACCUCCUUAAAAAAGAAAUAUAUAUAUAUAUAUUUAGUUGUCAAUGGACCUUUAUUGUUAUUUAUUUAUAUGCGGUACUGAGAAUUGAACCCAGUGCCUCAAACAUGCUAGGCAAACACUCUACCACUGAGCUAUAACUCCAGCCCUCCUUUUUUUCUUUAUACUGGAUCCUGUAGAUGUCUUUCAGAUAUAUCUUCCAGUUCAUUAAUUUCCUCUUUAUCUACAUCUAAUCUGAAAUUUAAGCCAUCUGUUAAAUUAUCUUUCAACAAUUAUAGUUUUAUUUCUAAACGUUAUUUUGUUUAUAUUAUUCAAAUCUGCAAGAUAUUUUUGACAGCUUCUUAAUAAUUAAUCAUUUUUAAUUGUUUAAAAAUCUAUAGGAUUCAGAAAUAUACAUCUUUAAUUAUUUGCAGUUUACAGGAAGCAAUUUUGUAGUCUGUGUCUGACAAUUUCAAAUAUGAAUUCCAUCUGUUUGUAAUUAGUGAUGACUUGCAAUAAUAGUUCCUUCUCUUCAUGUGUAUUUGCUGUUUUUAGUUUUGAGCUCAUAUUUCUUUCUUUCUUUUCUUUUUUUUUUGAAAUUGACACAGUACCUUUGUUUAUUUUUAUGUGGUGCUGAGGAUUGAACCCAGUGCCUCACAUGUGCUAGGCAAGUGCUCUACUGCUGAGCUACAACCUGAUCCCUCCUUUUGAUCUAUGGGAAUUUUGGGGGAAUACAUUAGGAAAGGUUUUCCCCAGGAAAUUUUUAUUUUUGCUUUUGCUAGGAAACAGGGGAACUACUGCCCCAGAAUAAUUUAGUGUCUUUUUGAAAUCUUAGCUUAAUGUGGGACUUUCAGAUUCAGUACAUGAACUUGCUUCUAGUCCAAGAUUUAAUUCAGCUAUACAGAUCUGGUAUUGGCUUUUGUCUUUAGGUCAACCCAUUUUCUCCUUUUUAUUAUUGUUCACUAUCUUGCAUUUUUAAAUUUUAAUUUUGGAGGGAGUAUGCUGAAGAUUUCUUUUAUCCUUACAAAUUUAGAAAUGCAAUAAAAGAUAGUUUAUUUGAGACUUUUUUUGUGUGUGUAUGUGGGGUAGGGGUCUUUCACAAAAAUUAAUCUUUCCAAACUGCUGGAAGAAGAAAUUUGAAACCCUUUUUUGGAGAAUUUUAAAAAAUAGUGUUUAGAACAUUUACAACUAGUUCUUUAGAUGAGUUUACACAAGGUAAUUUGGACAAUGAAAUGUAUCUUACUCACCAUGAUCAAGCAGUGUUCCCUAUAGCUCCAGUUUCCUGAUCUCCUCAUUCACUUUAUCUCGAAUGAGGAAUGUAAACUUGCCAUGGAAGGCUCGAUUUAGAAUGUUCAAAUGAGCAAUUAUCUCUUAACACCAACACAAGUCAUGCAUACAAUUUGGCAGAUUGAAGAUUAUAUACAGAAGAAACUUGAAGUUCCUUGCAAAACAAAUAGAGGAGUGAGAACAUUGCUGACUGAAAGCCAAUGAGCUCCGUCUCUUUAAAAAGUUAAAAAAAAAAAACAAUGAUCUAACAUUAAUGAGACUAAUAGUCUUUAAAGCUUUAUAAAAUUUUUCUCUUAAACCUUGAAAUAUCCAGAGCAUACAAAACUUUGUGAAUACGGCAGCAUGUUAAAGUGUCUUUCGAUGUGUAAGGUUGAUUCUGUGUAAGGUUCAUGGCUAUUUCUGAACCUACAUUUAAAGUUAAAAAGAUUAUAUAAGAUAGAAUGUUGCUGAUAGAGAAACUAUAAUUUCAUUCUAAAUGACAAUCUUGGUAAAAUCAUAAGUUUAAUAUACUAAUUAUAUUUUCUACAAUACAUGACAUCAUGCUCUAUGUUUUUCAAUUCAGAAAACACCAAGUUGAGCCAAGAAGAAGCUGUGGGUAUCAGCUGUAAAUAUCAGAACAAAGUGUGCUUGCUCUCGAAAACUACGCUGUACCCUGCUUCACAGGGGUCUAGUUGGUCUGGAGUGUGGGAAAUUCUGGGUAAGACACUGAUCUUCAGUUGCUUCUUGAUAAAUAAUAUAUUUGAGUGUGCAGAGCCUUGAUACCCAUUCACCUUUAAAAUAUCUCUUUAGUUCUCAUAACGUGAAAUUUAUGUUCUCCCGUUUCUGGGUCUCAGUUACUUCCCUAGACACUGAAGAGGCCAGAUCACAUGUUUGCCAAGUUUCUCUUAGCACAGUGUUUGGUGUGAUGUGUAAGGCCAGGAAUACAUGUUGGUACUCACCACAGCUCCCCCUACUGGCAUAUAAACAUUUGCAUCAAAACCAAAAGGAGGUUAAGUUCCUCCACUGUGGACUUAAAUGGGUUCAAAACAAAGUUUUGCUUCUUAAAUACUGUUCAAUCUGUAGAUUAUUUUCUUUUUGGAAAAAUCUCUUUUCAGAUGACUCAGUGUUUUCAAAUGUUGUUCCUUCUCAGAGAACACUGAAUUACGUCCUUUGAGCACCCGCGAUUGAAUUGGUGGCUUCAUUAAUGUACCUUCAGGAUGAAGCUAAUACUGGGAAGAUAAUGAAGGAAAUGGAAAGAAGCACUUUGGUGACACUAUUGGGGCCUCUGGAUCAACACUUGCUUGAUGUCUGAGCUUCAUUUUUAUGAGCCAAUGUAUUACUUUCAUUCUGUAAGACCAGUCAGGGUUUGGUCCCUUGUGGUAAAAAGUAACCAAAUGAAAACAUUUCCUAUUUGAGAUAAGUUGAACAUCUGACUUCAGUUUUAUCACCUCUAAUGAAAACCAAAGUUCUAUGCCACACUUUCUCUGUUGUAAGAAAACCAAGCCUAUAGAAGUCAAGAUUUACAAGAGUAAAUCUUGCAUGUAAAAAUUUCUUUGCAUUUUAAAAGGAGUUCAACAAUUAUAGGAGGUUCACUAUGAGCCAGUUUCACUAUUCAGUCAGUUUUGCAGUAAAUUAAAAUGUGAUUCACUUGAUAUAUUUUUAGGAACAUAUCAUUUGGGUUAAGUGGAAGCAUUACUGUUCUGGACAUCUGGGGUACUUAAUGUCAUCUCUGUAUGAAACAUCUGAGGAUCUAAUAGUAAGCAACCUUUUGUGCCAAAUAUUUAAAAUUCCUUCAGGAGUUAGUUUGAAGCUUGCAAAGACUCUGAGAUUGUAGUUAGAAAUACCUUGUCAAGCAAAUAAGAGAAAAUGAUCAGGCAGCACAUACCCUGUUUCUGAGGAACAUAGUCUGUGGUGACUUUAUGGGGAGCUGUAGCAGGUGCAUGAUAACCUUGUGGUUCAUCAUGUACUAUGAAGGAACAGUGACCUUCUCCCUCGAACUUUAGGAUUUCUAGGUAGGAUAGCCAUAUGUUCCUAUUUUCCCAGGAUAGUUCCAGUUUAUGUUGUUGUAAUAACACUCUCUGCCAGUUCCUGCUUAUAAGCUGCAUCAUUGUGGCACACAGCACAUAAUGGCACACAGAUCAAAUUAAAAUUGAGGAAUAAAAUAGUAGAGAAAGGAUGGAUUGGACUAACAUCUGGAAAACCAGGAGAGAGACUUUAGUGAUAAUUAUGGAGGGAGAACUUUUUGCUACUAAGUAUCUCAUAAACAAAAAUGGGAUUUGUUGUUUGGUAGUGUUAAAGGGGAUAUGAUGAAUGCUUUUGUAAAAGUUUAAGAUUAAAACACAGACUAAAAUAAGUCAAAUAGACUCAGCAACAAUAAGCCAAUGGCCAAUGCCAUUACAGAUCAAUAAGGCAGGUUUCAGCUUCUUGGAAGCACAGUAAUCAAUCCAGUUUCUGCAUUAUACCUCUCUUUUCCUUCUAAGUCCAAACUCAGUUCUCAGUAGCCUCUGUAGCAGCCACUACCAAUUGUGGAAAGCUGGCACAUGAAACAAUACACAUGUUGCUCCUUGCCACUUCUUUUUAUCUGCUCCCAAGAUGCCACCGUGGGGAGGAGCACAGCUGUGGGUUUUGCAAGAAAAUGUUUUACCCUCAGUUGGAGAGUUUUGGGAAGAGAGGAAGACAAAAGGCUUCAUUCAUUGUUUUCAAUAAAUGUUCAAGUUUUAAUAUAAGGAAAAAAGAGAGGUUCAAUUCUUAAGUGUCAACGGAAAAGUGACAUCUGAUUUUAUGGUGAGGAGAGCAUGAGAAACAAGGCUCCCUGGAGAACAGCCCCAACCAAGUCACCGUAAGAAAGAAAAAUUGUAGUGCCUAGCUUCUUCCACAGAGGGGCACUCCAAGCUCAGCACUGAACACUCCACGGUAUUGUUUUCAGUGACUGGUUGUGGAUGGAACAAGAGCUUCCAGUCUUUUCCCGGUUCCUACUAGGGAUUUUGAAAUAGAUAGAAUUAAAAGUACAUUUGUAGAACUCUGGAUGAAUGAGACAAAGCCAUUUUGGUGUCAAUUCCUAAUUAUUUCACAUUUACAAAUAUAACAGAAAUAUGUUAAAUUUGAAAAGAAAUUUCAUCUAUAUCUGUUUGGGUCUGCAUCAUACGAAAGAUUGAAUAAUUUGGAGAUUAUGAUAAAGUUCUCAUUUAAAGCUAAAAUACGGUUUAUCAGAAAAUUAUUGUAAGCUCGUCUCAAACACUCGUGAUUUCAUCUGAAUAUGAAAUUCAAAUUACAUCUUGG
This 75561-nucleotide long non-coding RNA is filed under the name Marmota monax (woodchuck). The stretch from base 29384 to 29452 matches the Rfam family "tRNA". The record is from RNAcentral. Lineage: Eukaryota; Metazoa; Chordata; Mammalia; Rodentia; Sciuridae.